This 77981-nucleotide long non-coding RNA is filed under the name Setaria viridis. RNAcentral's name for it is "long non-coding RNA (SVIR_LNC002105)". Lineage: Eukaryota; Viridiplantae; Streptophyta; Magnoliopsida; Poales; Poaceae. The record is from RNAcentral.
GGGCAAAAGAGUUCCAAUAAGUUUGUGCUCAAAGAAUAUGCUAGGUAGAUCCCUUUCUAGUGCGAGCCUACAAAAAGACUAUUUCUCUCCCAUGUUGAUCAUCCAUUACAUCUUGCAGUACCAUCACCCCCGAGCUAGCCUCAUUUCUCAUGGCUUUCAUCUGCUGUUCGUCAAUCCACUGCAUGGCCACUGGUUGCUGGCGAAGCCAUGGAUGAUCUUCAACCGCAGGGUGGUUGUGCCUGAAAGCCAACAGCGCAGAGGGCAACCUAGCAUCUUUGGCAGAGUCUUGUAUGUCUCCUUGUAUCGGUUAUGGAUUAUACUGCAGCUUCUCCUGAGUUCAUCUACUGUUGUCAACUUCUAUAUUGCAAAGCAAUGACCACUUGUUUGAAGACUCACUAUAUUGCCUGCUAUUGUUCUUUGCUAUGUGUUACUUUGUUGCAUGCUCACAAUGGUGAGUACAAAAAGCUCAUAAGCUGCGUUAUGUCGUUAUCUCUAGUCAAGUGAGCAUUCUAUUUCUUAAUUUUUAGUUUGAUGAGACAUUUGAGUUUUCGCUGAUACCCCUAUGAAAUUUAAAAGGAUGCGGUAUGCCUACCGUUACAUGGUGAAAAAAAUCCCAUGAGCUACCUUAUCUCUAGUCAAGUGAGCAUUCUAUUUUUUAACUUUUAGUCUGAUGAAAGGCAUCUGAGUUUUUGGCUUUUCGCAGAUAUUGUUAUGAAAAUUAAAAGGAUGCAGUAUGUCUGCCGUUACAUUGAAAGCACUCUAAGAAAACGUGGCAAUUCGGGAGAACGAUUCCUCCAAGUCUUAAUUCCAUUCAUGUUUACUUUCUAAAUUUUAUCCAAAUCAGGCAAUCUCCCAUCGUGCUAUUAAAGGAACAGAUUAGAAACAAAUUUAGGCUCAGUCUCACACUCUCAUGUCAUAGCAGUUGAAUUGGGCAAGGGCACAGGGCACUACAUAACACUAACAUUUUGGAAAUCCUAAGAGCAUAACAUAUAUCACAUCCAGCUAGAUCUAGCAACUGCUCAUUCAUUCGCACUACAUUUUCCGCUUUACAAGUUUGCAAUUCACCAAGACGGAGAGGAAUUUAAUCAUUCACCCAAAACAACAACCAGAUAACCAAACUGACCUUCUUGACGGGAAGAACACAAAUUGUCCUGCCGACUACUCCGCCCUCUCCUUGGAGAACUGGGAGAUGUCGCUGUGCUUGAAAAAAUCCUCCCAGUUCCUCCCAUCGAAUUUCCUGUACUCGACAUGCUUCAGGGUGCCGGGGUCGACGCAGGUCACGGUGACGGCCACGCCGUCCGGGUUGGACCUCGGGGAGUAGAAGGAGGUGAUGCCGCAGACCUUGCAGAAGGUGUGCUUGGCCGUAUGCGUGCCGAAGGUGUAGGUGGUGAUGAACUCCUCGGAGCCGGCCUGCAGAUUGAACUUGGCGGUGGGGACGAUGAUGUGGGUGUUCCCGCGCAUGGAGCAGUCGGAGCAGUUGCAGAUCCACGCCACGACGCUCGCCGGGGCCUCGACCUGCCACCGCACGCGUCGGCAGUGGCAACCACCGCUGUGGACGACGACCGCCUCAGAGGCCAUGAAGAUCCGCGAGCAGGAGAGCAGAAGCUUGAGACUCAGUUCUUGCAGUUGACUCCGUAGUCCCGGUCCAUAUCCCCGCACCGCAGCCCCGCUCAGACUUAGGAUCACGAUUACAGCUCUGUACCAUUUCAGUAGGUCUAAUUAUUCCUAUAUAAAUUUCUCUCUUUUUUUUUCAGCGUACAAGUGGAGUUUCAAUUUCAAAAUCUUACAAGGUGAUUUUUUUUUACAAAAGUAUAGGUUGUUCCUACCAUUUCAUUGCAAGACAUGUGAUUGGAUAUGAUAAGAUGAAAUGAAACUUUUUAGCCCCUAAUGACAGCUUCAUCAGAUUUCAUACUCUUGGAAACAGUGCAGUUUCAUUCACAUGAAACUCCUUCCAUCUCUCUUCAUAAUUACCCUGCCAUAUCAUCACAUGAUGAUGUGUCAUUGUAUUUAGUGUGCAUGAAAUCUCAUGAAAUUUGCACUGGGACUACCCUAAUAUCAUGCUCUAUGUUUAAAAAUAUAUAUUAUAAUUUUUUACAAUUACUUUAAUGUAAACAUAUAUCUCUAAGUCAAUUUCAUAAUGAAAAUAAUCACAAAAAUUAUUAAUAUAUUUUUAACAUAAAUAUUACUUAAUACUUAACUUUUACACGAAGUAACAAUAAAGAAAAAUCAACUGGGUCAAUCAAAAUAGUUAAUGAAAAUAAUAUAAAUUUUGCUUAAGAGGUUAAGCAUGAUAAAAUGAUCAAAUUGACAAGGUAAUAAAAUGGACUUUUUGUCUAAUACAAAUAACAAAUUAGCUAAAAAUCUUAGAUGGCAACAUAAACUGUUUGAGCACUCCAUAAGGCUUGUAUCCAAACAGGUAACCACAAGGCGUCGCUAAGAACGGAUCAUGAGUGCAUCCGUCCGUAAGCGAAGGGUGUGUAUGUGCCCGUAGUUCGGUGGCUUCAGUCUGGUGUAAUGUAAACACAUCCAUUUAUUCUCAGUUUUCCACACAAAUUUCACUAAUAACCGGUAACCGCUGCACAAGCACAACUUAACAAUCCACAAACACAAAAAGAGGCCAGAAUUUAUUCAUGCACUAGGCACAUCGCCACAUCCACGCCGAAAUUAACCUGAGCAGUGACCACUCUACUUCUCCGCCGCCUUCGCCUUCGCCUGGUUCUCGAACCACUCCUCCCAAUUCCUCCCGUCGGCCUUCCGGUACUCGACGUGUCUGAGCGUGCCGGGAUCCACGCAUGCCACAGUGACGGCGACGCCGUCCGGGUUGGACCUCGGGGUGUAGAAGGAGGUGAUGCCGCAGACCCUGCAGAAGGUGUGCUUGGCCGUGUGCGUGCCGAAGGUGUAGGUGGUGAUGAACUCAUCGGAGCCGGCCUGUAGAUUGAACUUGGAGGCCGGGACUACGGUGUGGGUGUUCCCGCGCAUGGAGCAGUUGGAGCAGUUGCAGACCCACGCCACGACGCUCGCGGGGGCCUCGACGCGCCACCGCACGCGGCGGCAGUGGCACCCGCCGGCGUGCACGACGACCUCCUCAGCCUUGGUGGGGACGGAGCUACUCAUCUUGUAUUUGUGGCACCCCGCGCUGCUUGCUCUGGUGACUUUAAAAGAAGAUCUGGCACGGCUUGUGUAGCAGAGAGAGGAGCCGGCGGUGGGACUAAGCGUGGAAAUCCUCGCAAUCCGGGUGGCAGGGUGGGGUAGGUAGCCGCCGAGCUAGCUGCCAGUAGCUGGUGCCACGCGCUGGCCGCCAGUGAGCGGUGACCGCUUGGGAAGACGAUUGAUUAGACAGACACGAACACGACAAAGGAGAAAAACGCCGGGGGGCAUGGGCUGAGGCUGAUAGGCCCAUAUGGCCGUUGACUUGUUGCCCGGACAAUCCAGUUAUCUCGCUGUGUAGGCCACCGAUUUGCAAGAAGGUGCGACCGGCCCACGGCCCAUCCACCCAACGGCGUGGGCGGAGCGAGGUGGCCAGUGCCGGAUGGCACUCUUUAGAGCCUAUUUAGGACUGCUCCACUCCAGAUUUUGUAGCUCCACUCCGGCUUCAUGUUGCUAAAUACCUCCAACUCCAUCUAUAACAACUCCAAAAAAACGUGGAUCUGGGGGCAACUUCAAUAUUUUCCUGGAGCUCCUCAAAGGGUGCUCCAAAAAAUAAUUUUCAUACUUUCUCUUGGAGUUGGGUGAAAAUUACCCACCAAUGCCACCCUUUACACGGUAAUGUUUCGGAAAAAAAAACAUCGGCGCUUUCUGUUCCGCGAGACCGCGUCUCAUCUCGCGACUGUUCGUUUCCGCGCCACCGCCCCUCGCGUUUGCGCCGCCGAUCGCGAUUCUGCCGCCGACCCUCGUGCCUGACAUGCCAAUCCUCCACGAUGCGCCUGAUACUCCUCCGCCGCCGCUGCCAUCUCCCCUCCGGCGCCCGUUCCAUCCGUCGCUGCCCAUGGCCGAGCUCGGCCUGAACGAUGGCGCCCAAGCACUAGGCGCCGAUGAGUUGGAGGCGACCAACGUCCUAGCCGGCAGCCUAGUUGAGGGCGGGCGAGGCCUCACAGGGGGCGGCUGUGGCUUGGCCGUGACGAUCGGUUCCCUGGAGAUCGGACCUGAAGAAGACUUUGCCUUGGCCGUCCUGGCCGGCGGCGGUCCUAUCCUGGGGGCGGGCAGCCGUGGCUUGGGCGCGGCCGGCCAUGUUGUGGGGGCGGGCGGCCGUGCUCUGUCCGGUGGUGGCCGUGGCUAUGCCACGACCAGCAAUCCCUUAGUAGGUGGUGAACCUGAAGACAAUGGCGGCAGUCGUGUCCUGGGAACUGGCGGGCGUGGUUUGGGUGCGGCCGGCCGUGGCCUGAUCGGUGGCGGUCGUGCCCAUGCCAGCAGCAGGCAGCCCCUGACCGGUGAUGAGCCUGACCUCAAAGAGGUCAUGGCCGGAGGCCUGGCCGGGUUCGGCCGUGGCCAGGGGGUGGGUGGCCGUGGCCUGGCCAAAGGUGCCCGUGUCUUGUGCAGGGGCAGCCACACCCUAGCGGGGGUUGACCCCGACCUUGAAGAGGCCGUUCUUGGUGGCGAAGAUGCAAGUGUCGGCCAUGGUCGUGGGAAGAAGCAGCUAGGAAGAGGCCGGGGCCAAGGACAGAGCAAGAAACCCUCCAAGGCAACUAAGAAGAAUGAAGAAGAGGAGGUAUGUGAAUUAUCCUUUAUCCUUGAUGUAUGUUUCAUCUACGUUGAUACAAAUAAUUAAACAUUGACAAGAUGAAGUAUCAGUGUACAUAAUCAAAUAGCAUGAACAAUGUAAAGUCACGCUAGAUUGAAAUAAGAGUGUAGAUUCCUUCAUGGAUCUUCUGAUUGUUACACUAGCAUUUAUGUUUGCAUUGUAUUGGCUCAUGGUCUGAAUCUAUAACGUACAUGAUCAGUAGAAAGUAAUGUAUUGACCAGAAUAAUAAGAAGUUUGUAUUGGCAUGAAAGAAGAUGAGUUAUUGGUGUAUACAUACCUACAUGAUCUGUAGAAUGUGAUGUUGUAAAUACAUGUAUAUAUAAUGCUCAGGGAGAUAUGAUGGACUGGACCGACGCAUACACUUCGAUCGUUUGUAACUUGUUUGCAGAACAAGUUAAGAAAGGGAAUAGACCAAAUACACAUUUGAACUCUGUAGGCUAUACCGAAGUGUCAAAUAGGUUUUAUCAGAUGACAGGAAUUUAUCUUAGCAAGAUGCAACUGAAAAACAAGUGGGAUAAGUUGAAGACAAAAUUAUCAGCAUGGAAUAGAUUAAUGAAGAGGCAAACAGGAACAGGUUGGGACAGAAUAAAGGGUGUGAUUGACAUGGACGAUGAGUGGUGGAGAAGGACAAGGAAGGUGAGGAUGUACUUUUUAAAAAAAUUUAAUGAAUCAUUCAUACUCCUUACUCACUCAUUGCUAACACUAUUUUCUUAUCUUUUUUUCACUACAGGACAAAAUCUCUGCAAAAUGUGGAUGAUUUGACGGUUAUGUUUGGUGACAUCAUUAAUGAUGAAACAGAUCAUUGGAACCCUAUGACUUCGAACCCUAUCAUACCCCAAAAUGAUGAGACUCCUAUUGAUGUAGACAUUGAUGUUGGUGAGAACCUUGAUGGUGGUGGGGAUGAUAUUCAUGUGUACCCAACAGAAGAAGACAAUGAAGGUGCUACUAUGAAUGACAUUGAGGAGGUGUCUCCAUCCAUUGGCAAUGGAAAAAGAAGAUCGAGGGUUAUCAUAGACAAACAAAAGAAAGCAAAAAUAGGAACCGCACUUGUCAUUCAGGAAAAAUUGAGUGAGAUAGCUGAACAAGCCAAGGCUUUCACAUCAAAGAAGGUUGGCGAAGUUACUGUUGAACAAGUAAUGGACCUUAUUUUGGACUGUGGAGCGGGGUAUGGUGCUGAUGAGCAUUUCAUUGCCACUGAGUUGUUUGUGAAGAAAGAUCAAAAGGACAUGUUCAUGACCUUUCCCACUAAGGACAUUAGAUUCGGUUAGCUUACGAGGAAAUUCAACGCUAAAUACGGGAAUUGAAGACUAUCAUUUGUGUUGUCGGUCGUCCUUUUCAUUAUUUUCGAUUGUUUGGACACCAUUUUUAUGUUAUUUUAUUAAUAUCACUUGAACUUUGUCAUCAUUGAACCUUUUGUAUUAAUGUCAGUUGAACAAUAAUGUAUUCAUGUCAUUUUGUUUCAUGUCUAUGUCCUGUCUAGUCAAAAUAUAUUCAUGUCAUUUUUUUUCAUGUCAAAUUGCAGGUGUCUGAGAGUGAGAGUCAUAGUAGUGAGGAGAGUGAGCAGUUUUGGAGUUUAGUUCUUGGUGGUGCUCAAGUAGCUCAAAGUUACGUCAAUCUUUAUCUAGAUUAAAACCCACCAAGAAUAUCAAAUCUUAGUGGCAUGGGAUGGUUGAUGGAGACAAUAAGAAAUGCGGGAGAAUGCCAUAGACAACUUCAUAUGAAUUAGAAUAUAUUUAUGGAUCUUCAUGAUUUAUUGGUGGGAAGGUAUGAAGUUAAAUCUUCCAUGCAUAUGAACACACUUGAGAUGUUGGCCAUUUUAUUAUACACUUUGGGUGGAAAUGAGUCAAAUAGGAGAGCUUAAAAUAGAUUCAACCAUUCUGGUGAAACAAUAAGUAGGAAAUUUGAUGAGUUCUUAUUAUGUUUGAUCGCUAUGGCAAAAAAUUUCAUUAGAACAAAAAAAUCCAAACUUCCCUACUGUCCAUAAAAGGAUAAGAGAGGACAAACGUGCAUAUCCACACUUUAAAGAUUGCAUAGGUGCUCUUGAUGGCACUCGUAUCCGUGUCGUACUGUCACCCGAGGAGAUGGUAAGGUAUAUUGCGAAAAUCGGAAUGGCAACCCAAAAUAAUUUUAUGUUUUGCUUGUCCCAAUGCUGAACAAAUAAUAACUUGUAUUACCUUCUCAUUUUGCAUGCACAUACUAUGUUGUUAAAGCGGGUUAUCCUAAUCGCCCUGGGUCUCCUUACAAGGGUGAAAGAUAUCAUUUACCCGAAUGGCAUAGGAGUAUGGAACCAAAGACUCCCGCUCCCACGGAAAGAUUCAAUCAUAUUCACUCAUUUAUUCGCAAUGUUAUUGAGCGAUCGUUUGGACUAUUAAAAAUGAAGUGACAAAUUCUCUACAAGAUGCCACCGUACCCUAUGUACAAGCAAAAGAUGAUUGUUGUGGCUACUAUGGUCCUUCACAAUUAUAUCCGUGAACAUGGAGGUGAAGACAUUGACUUUGAUCAGUUUGAUCGUGAUCCUAAUUACAUACCUACUAUCCCAGAAAGGUAUAACAAAUAUGCAGUUUCUCCCUUGGCGUUCGACCGGUCUACUUCGAAUGCCAAUGCUCCAACUAUAGAUGUAUUUCGUGAUGAGUCGGCCACCGCCAUUUCUCUUGCUUGGAACUAGGUAAUAUUGGUGUGAUGAAUUUUGUAAUUUCAUUUGGUGUCACACAGUUCAAAUUUUAAUUUUUUAUUGGAAUAUGAAGCUGUCCCUGUUCUCUAAUACGAAAAUUUUCCACGUGAAAAAAAGAACACGAGCAGUGCCGGAACGGCACAGCUACCUCACAAGCACGGUACUCACAUGCACGGUAGCGCAUGGAUUACUGUAGUGCGGUACUGUAGCGCGGAGAAAAACUCAUCCAAAGGGUAAAAAUGACUAUUCCCACUCGUUCCUACAAUUUCUAGAGCUGAAUUUGCAUCUGAAUUUGCAUCCAGUAACCAAACGGGUAUCUUGCUCCCUAUUUUUCUAGAGUUGGUAGGGUGGAGUUGAAAAAGGUAGAGUUGGUAAAAGCACCUACAAUUUUACCAUUCUUGCAUAAAUGAAGCAACAUAAUUGUCAUUUUUCUGACUUCGCGAGCCACGUAUUGUGCCAGCAUGGAUUGAGCAGGGAAAAUGACGUUGGUGUCCCUGCCCUCCUCACAUUGGGCAUAUUUUCCCCUGCAACAGACACGUGGGACCCGCACGUCGGGCUCAUCUUCAACCUCCCACCCGCACGUUCGUCCGUGCAGUGAGGUUGGGGGCGGCGACCGCUCGAGCCGCGCGCUCUGGGCGGCUCCGACGCGGCCGUCCCGGUCCCGGCCCGCCUGCCCAGUGCGGCACAGGCUCUCAUCAGCCCGCGACGAUCAUCUCCCUGCGCACGUGCUCCGGCAGCUGCAGCGUGAAGUGCUCGAGGCCGUAGCCGCGCGUGGUGAAGGAGUGGCCCGUGGAGUGCGACCACGGGACGAGCGGCGGCGUCAGCGACGGCCACCCCGACUGCGACCGCACCGCGCGGCGCUGGCUCCCGAUCCGCUCCAGCUCCAUCGCCUCCUCCCUCCUCCUCUUCCGUCGCCGACGUGAUCCGCGGCUGCAGCAGCGGCGAUGGAGUCCGCUCUGCCGCAGCAGCACCACCAGCAGCAGCCGGAGGCGCGGCCGCGACCGAUGCUCGCGGGAGGUGGGGCCGCCAAGAGCCGCCACCACGCGUACAGCCGCAAGGAGAAGUUGCUCACAAAAAUCCUCUGCUCCAUGUGAGCCUCCAGCAGCCUCGGCAUGCACGGUCCUGGUAAAUGGCGCGACUGCUGGCUGGAAUUGCGAACCUGCUGGCGCAGGCGGAGUUGGAUCGGAUUGGAACCCCGUCAGCGUCAGCUCGUGGAUUGAUUGGCUACGUCUUUCCUGCACGCUAGCUUUGGCCUCUGGGUGCUUUAGCGGUUGCCUGGUACCAGGUUGUUGAGCACGUGCGCGGCCCAGCUCAUCGUGUCCGAGCCUCCUGUAUUCUCCUGAGUUCCGCGAGGACGUGGAGUCCGUUGGGCUGGACGAAGCGGCCAAGAGAUGGGCAAUGGCUGAGAGGUUGGAGAUGAGCCUGAUGGGCGGGUCCCACAUGUUUGUGGCAGGAGAGAGGGGAAGAUAUUACCAACGUGAGGAGGGCAGGGGCACCACCGUGUCAUUUUCCCAGCUCAAUCCAUGCUGGCGCGAGGAUGUGACUCGUUAUGUCAUAAAAAUGAUAAUUCUGUUGCUUCGUUUAUGUAAGGAUGGCAAAAAUGUAGGUGCGAUGGCAACCGAAGGAGUCACGUUCGCAAGCAUGGCAAAUGGUUAAAAUAUUCCGCCCGCGCCAAGCCGCAACCGGCACGCCGGUCUGACACUCUGACUCGCUGUUGCCACCGCCAACGCCCGCCGCCCGCCUGCUCGCAGUUGCAGGACCAAUUAAGGGCCUGUUUGGAUACCACCUCAUAAACUUUAGGACACUCAUAAACUUUAGGAGCUAAAAAUUGGUACUCCUAAAAUUUAGGAGUGGGGUGUUUGGAUGGACUCAUAAUUUUUAGGAUGAUUGAGGGAAAAUGACUGUUGUACCCCUAAUUAAUGAGUAACUGCCGGUUACUUUCUACCGCCAGGGAUGCACUUUUGGCGCGAGCGAGCUGCCUUCGGCGCGGCGCGAGCGCGCGCUGCCUCUGGCGCGCAAGUGCUCCCUCUGGCGCACACGGGAUGCCUGCCUGGUUUUUUUUUCGUCCUUUUUUUUAUUUUGCCGGCCCUUUUGCUGGCGGCUUUGAGUAAAAAAUCGUAGUUGUCCAAAAAUACAACUCAAAAAUAUUUAGCACAGUCCAUCGUCAUUGUCAUUACAACUCAAAAAUACAAAACCUCUACAAUCUAUUGAACAAACCAUUAGCUAUACUUCACGAAAUUCAUUCAUAUUUUGAUCUCCGUCUGACUCUUCGAUAUUUCCGUCAUGUCCUUCAAUGCUUGAUUCUUCGGUCAAAGGAACAAAAUUUUCAUCACGAUCACACAUAUGGAAGGCCCUAUCCGCAUUAUCGUUCUCCCUAAUGAAAUUGUGAAGUGCCAUACAUGCUACUAUUAUUUUGCUUUGCUUUUCAAUUGGAAAACUUGGAAUUCCCAAUAAAAUCCUCCAUUUCAUCUUCAAAACUCCGAACGACCUCUCAAUAAGAUUUCUAAGUGAUGAAUGCGCGUAAUUAAAAGUCUCCUUCAUACCUCUCGGAUUUGGGCCACUCCGGAACUCAGGAAGGUGGUACUUCGUACCUUUGUAUGGUGCAAGAUACCCCGGGCGGUUAGGAUAUCCAGAGUCUACUAGAUAAAACUUCCCUACAAAUACAAAAGAGAAUAUGGUUAGCAAUAUUGGCAUAUAAUUUAUUUUCAAAAUAUUAUUGAGCAAAAUUGUACCUGGAGGAGGGUGUGGAUACUUGUCAGCAUAUUUAUUUAAGGCAUCACUGAAUACUCUCAUAUCAUGAACUGAUCCAGGCCAUCCACUAACAACAAAUGUGAAUCUCAUGUCGAAGUCACAAAUGGCAAGCACGUUCUGUGUGGGGUAUCCAUGUCUGCCCGUAUGCUGCACCACCUUAUUACUUGGUACCACAACUGGUACAUGAGUCCCAUCUAUAGCUCCUAUGCAAUUGUUGAAAUAUGGAGCAUACCUAGGAUUUCUCAACCUCUGGUGAAUUGUUGUAAACUGAGGGUCCUUUGGCCUAAUUAUAUCUACUACUAGCCUAAUAACACAUGACAAAACCAAAUCAAAUGUGCGGCUUAUUGUUUCCAAUGACCUUACAAACCGAUCCGCAACUUGUCUUAGUGAUUGGGGUGCACCAUUUAUCCAUAAGAAUAUAGCUAAAGCCUCCAUCGUUGACAUUCUUCUAGUUCCCCUCAAACCAUAAGACUCAACCAACAGGUCAUGAAGUUGGUGAAAUAAAGUGCAAGACAUCCUAAACAUGUUGUAGCAUGAGGUUGGAUUUGAUAGUGUCUCUUGCACCCAUUUUAUGCCUGGUACAGUAGGUACUCUAGGUGGCCCUUUGUGAUAGUAAGUGUCAUAGUACAUACCAAGCAUUAUUGAGGACUCCAUAAUCUCUCGAUUCCUCUUUCGACGUAUGAUUUCCAGCUCCAUGAACUUGCAUGCCAUAUUAAUGAAUUCAUCGUCAGAAUCUCCUUCACCAUCAUCCUAAUUCACCAUUAAAAAAACAGGCAUACAUUAGUCAAACAAAUUCUGCACAGUCACAUUAGUACUGCAGCCGAGCCAUGUUCACAAACUAAAAUCAAACAUGUUCGACAAAAUCAAAUAUUCCAGUACUCAAACAGCCACAUUUUGAAACAACCACAUAUAGAAACAACCACAAAUUUAAACAUGUCACAUGAUCACAACUUGAAACAGGCACAUAUUCAAGUUCUAGCAGCCGAAAUAACAUGUUCAGAAACCAACAAUUCAAGGUUCAAACAACCACAAAUCUAUACUACUAAAUUCUAAUCUAAGUUCUCCUUCUUGCACCAUCUUUUCAAGAAAGCCAUCCUAGCCUCUGCAUCAUCAAGGUUGCAGAAGAAUUCUCUGUUGAAUUUAUCCUUGCAUAUGUCCCAACAAGCAAACAUUUCAGCACUAUCCUUCCUUGCACCACAUUCUACUGCUAAUUGUUGGCAUCUCUUAACUUCAUCUGCCACUGAAUUGGUGUUCAUCUUCUGCCUCUUAUCUUCUGUGAAUUUGACAAUUGAUGCACCAACAUUCCUGAAAAUACUAUGGGUCACAUCAUCCUUCUCUGAUUGCCUGUUGAAGUAAUUUGUCACAGCAGUGAUCAUUGGGCUUCUAGAUUUUUUUGGAGGGCUAGUAGCAGUUGAUUUGGUGCUUGCAUUGGACCUCUUCCUGGUGUUUGAGCUCUUAGGGCUGUCAUAGAAAGAGGCAGGUUCACCAUCACAGUCCUCUCCACCAACUGAAGGGUCUCCAAUGUCAUCAUCUUCACCAUCUUCUUCUUCUUCCUCCUCCACUUCUGGAAUGUAUGCUGUGCUUCCAUCAACUACAGUUUCAUGAAACAUUUCUUCCAACUGAUCUAAGUACUCUGGAGCACCAUGCUGCAACUUCCUCAAAUCAGGACGUUUCUGCAAGUGACAUGUCAUUCUAAGUCAGGAGCACUACAUCCUGGAAAUUAAAGGGUUAGUACAAAAUUUAUGUCUCACCUGUGUGUGUAUAUCCCACCACCAAUUUGGAGCUAGCACUGUCCCAUCAGCAUUUCUACCUAGACCUAAUUCCCUCUGUAGGCCUUUCCAAAAGGUAUACAACCUUUUUAAUUGAUCUCUUCUAUUCCUAAGCUGCCCAAAAUCAUGCUUCAAACCAGUAGCCAUGUAGUACUUUUUCUGAAUUAUCUUCAACCCUCUAGUGGACAUGUUGCCUUUGGGACAGUUUCCUUCUCUAAUUUGCUCAACUGACAAAUCACAGAAUAUUCCAGUAUUCCUUUCUGUCCACUGUGCUUUGUCAUUUUUAAUCUAUUGGAUAAAGAACAGUGAAUUUCCAGGCAACACACAAAAAGCAAUCAACAAAUACAUGUCACUGACUCAGGAACUAUGUAAUGAAUUUAUCUAGACAUAAUACAUGAAGGCACUAAUUCAUGAAGCAACAUUUUCAGGAACUCACAAAUUCAACAUCUAACAAUUUCAGCAUGUCACAAUGGGAAUAAGUCACAGAUUCAUGAAGCCACUAAUUCAUCUAGCCACUAAUUCAUCUAGCCACUAAUGCAUGAAGCUCUGUCAUGCAUCUAGUCACAAUUCAAUCCAUUCCUGAAAAUUUCAGAACAACUUCCACAGCUAAUUCAUACUAUCAACUUCCACAGCUAAUUUCAUUCCCAAUUUCAGAACAACUAAUUCUAAAUGGACCCUAAAUUCAUACUAUAAAGUCACAGAUUUUACCUGUGAGGCAGGAAACACAACUUCGACAGCUGCAUCAUCAACAACAUUGUGUUCAUAUGCAUCAAAAGCAUCUUUUGGAGGGCCUGAACUUCCUCCACCACGAGCACCACCUCGACGGCCUCUUCCACGACUUGCACUGCUAGAACCACCACCGCGAAACAAAGAUCUUGCACGGCCUACUCCACCUCUGCUACCAGGCCCCCUGCUGCCGCCCGCCAUCCUGCUGCCGCCUGCACCUUGACUGCAGCCGGCCGCCUUGCUGCCGCUAGGUCCUAUGGUGUCGCCGGCACCUUUGCUGCCGCCGGCCGCUCUGCUCCCGCCGGCCCCUUUGCUGCCCCCACCACCACGUCGAGCCGCGGGUAAGCCAAGAGUACGGCUACCGCGGCCCUGGGGAACCUCAUCUCCCCGAAGGUACUCUGAGUAUAUGCUCAGAUCUGCGUACUCCUCAGCCUGGGAGUUGAGGUUCAAGUUCUCCAAGCCGUGACGGGGGGCACUGGAAGACUCGGACUGAGAGAAAAAAUCGAUUUGGCAGGGGGGAAUUUGUGGAUCGGGCUGGGGGAACAAAUCCUCCAAUCCGUCGUCGCCGUUGCCCGCCAUUAGGAAACGACGGAACUCAAGAACGGCGGAGGACUGGAGGGGUUGAGGAAACCCGGGAUCUUGUGGGGAUGGCGGCGGGGAAAUAGGGAUGAGGCGGCGAGGGAACCAGGCGGCGGGGAAAUGGGGAGGACGCGGCGGGGAACUGGGGAGGAGGCGUCAGGCAAAUGGGAACGAGGCGCCGAGGGAAGGAGGCGGCGGCGAAAUGGGGAGGAGGCGGGGAAAUGGAGACGAGGCGGCGGCCAAAUGGGGAGGAGGCGGCGAGGGAAGGAGGCGGCGGCGACCGGAGGAGGCGACGGCCGGAUGAGAUGGCGGCGGGGAAAGGUGGACGAGGCGGCGAGAGUAGGAGGUGGCGGCCAAGGGAGGAGAGGGCGGCAGCGUAGAUCCGGCCUCGGAAGGGGAUGGCGGCGGCGGAAGAAGUACGGGGAGGGCGGAGGGAGGAGGAGGCAGCGGCGGAGGGAGGAGGAGGCGGCGCAGAUGCGCUGUGCGGGAGGAGGAGGCGGCGCAGAUGGGCAGUGCGGGAGAAGAGCGGGGGAGGAUAGGGUGCGACCGUGCAUCCGUGGAGAGAGAAGGGGAGGGGUAGGAGGGGUAAAGGUUGGGUUGGGGACCACUUUUAUGAGAAAAAUGAAAGUUUAUGAUGGUUUGAUCCUCCUAAUGAAAACAGCACCCCUAAAGUUUAUGAAUACACUUUUAUGACACCAGUUUGGAUGCACAAGUUCUAAAAAUGACCUAAAAGUGAAGUCCUAAAGUUUACGAUGUGGUAUCCAAACAGGCCCUAAUCACCAGUCCCAAACACGCACAGGCAUCUCGGCACCACCGAAGCCUCGAGCCCGCCCCCCCUCCCCAACCCCCACCCGUGGCCUGCGCCGCGCCGCGGCGACCGGCCAUGUCCAUCGACUACCUCGUGCUAGGUACGCGGCGCCCGCCUCUAACACCGUUCGGGUGGAUGCAGGGGCGGGUCAGGAUGUGGGGAAGAGCUGAGUGGUGGCGACCAUCGGUGGGCGGCGCGUCAUGUUUGACUGCGGCGUGCACUUGUCCUACAAGGGCCGGCGCAGCUACCCGGAAUUCGACCGGGUCCUCGCGGCCUCCGGGGCCACCGACUUCACCACCGCCAUCUCCUGCGUCGUCAUCGCCCACUCGUGAGUGUGGCAUUUUCCUCCUCCCUCCCCUGGCGGUUUUCCGUAGGCUGCUAAGCUUCCCCUUAAUUUGCAGCCAUUUGGAUCAUAUCGGGGCGCUUCCCUACUUCACCGAGUUCUGCGGGUACCAUGGCCCCAUCUACAUGACGGUGAGCGCAGACUACUUUGUAAUCGUUGUUUGGAUUAUAGCUAGAACAAUUGUUUUGAUUUUGAUUCAAGUAAAUUGGGAUUCACCUUAGUUCAGUUUUAUUCCCCCCUUCUUUUGGUCAGCAAACUAGUCAGCUACCAAUUAAUAAUGUUGUGAGCUCACAAAAGUCACUGUUAAGUGCUUGCUGGUAAGUCCUUAUGUUAGAUGUCUUUGUUGCUUAUGAGCUGAAGACCCUGGGACAUCGUGAGUUGGUUUUGGUAGAUUUGAUGAUUUUUGUCAAAUUUCACCAAGGAAAUUAUCUUAAACUGAAGUAUCCUUCACUAUUAGCUCAUAUGCUUGGACUGGUCUCUUCUUUGGUCUCUCCUGUUCUUGUACCAAGGAUUUAUAUCUCUUCAUGAGUGAUCUUCCAUAACUUCUUUCAUGGUGCCUCUCAAACAGUACCCAACAAAGGCUUUAGCUCCAAUGAUACUGGAAGAUUUUCGGAAAGUAAUGGUUGUUCAGCAAUGGGAGGAAGGGCAAUAUAGUUAUGAGGAUAUUCUCAGGUGUAUGAAGAAAGGUAACCUUAAUUAAGGCUGGGAUUUCUAUCAUUGGUGUAGUUAAAAAGUUCUAGCAAGAAGCAGACUGUUCAAGUAUGAUAGUGCUAUUUUCCUUAUAUUUUGACCUUGCAGUUAUACCAUUGGACCUGAAGCAGACUGUUCAAGUAGAUUAGGACCUUGUGAUCCGUGCCUAUUAUGCUGGACAUGUAUGCUUCUUUAUUGUCUCAUGUUCUGUUUAUUGUACUUUAGAUUAUUUGAGUUGAAGUAUUGAUUUAGUUCUCCACUUUCUAAUCUAGUAAAACCGUCAUUCCAAAUUCAAGGUCCUAGGGGCUGUCAUGAUUUAUGCAAAAGUUGGAGAUGCUGCUAGGUCUACACUGGAGAUUACAAUAUGACAUGAGAUAGACAUCUUGGUGCAGCGCAAAUUGAUCGUCUAAAAUUGGAUCUUUUGAUAACAGAGUAUAGUCCAAACUCCAAUUAUUAGCAUAUUUCCUAUUUGAUUGUUGCCUGAUUUUUGAUUAAGUAUUGUGAAUCAUGCUGCAAUUUCUUAUACGUUAGCACUACAUUAGAGUAUGUUUGUUCUUUUUUUAAAAAAAAAUCAUUAUGUGGUUGCCUUGUUGAUAUCAGAUCACAGGAACAGGUUUCCAGAUCGGUACCCAUCUGUGGACCAUUGUCCCUGUUGCUAGCUAAAUUGUUCACCUGAAAAUCAUUUGGAAUAUAGCUGUAAUAACUAUAUUUAUUACUUAUUACGUUGUUGAAUUCAGUUUCUGGUGUUAAAACGAUGAUUUGCAUUUGUUUUAUGGUACAACACGUGUGGUUUCUCAAUGUUUUUAAUCAUGUUAAUGAGAUUAAGAGCACAAUGGUGUGGAUUCUUUUUUUUUUCUAUGUAUACUAUUAAGUAUAUAGUUGUUUUUUUUCUUUCUUCACUUCUGCAGAUCCACAUAUGCUGAAACUACACGUGAUUCAAGGCGUGCUCGAGAGAGUGAAUUCUUACAAGCGGUAUGUAAACGGCAAACCUGACUUUCCAUUAUGCCGAUACACUUGGUUUUGUAGAUUUAGUUGCAUUUAUUAUUUUAACUGUUGUGUAGAUUUUGUAUUUGCAUGCUUAAUUACUUUUCUUCUAGCACAAUACCAUCCAAGAAGUUAAUUUUCACCAAAUUAAGUGCAAUUUGUAAUUUGUCAUAGGAUACAUCUUUGUUUUUAUCUGACACCUUAGACCACAAAAUAUUCAUCUUGACUGUACUAUACAGUUAUUCUGUGAAUCUGCGCAUCAUGCUUUUUUUGGAGGAAGUUGAGAGGGGUGAACCCUACCUAUUUUCAUUAAAACACAUACAUAGAAUUUGUCUACACUACUUUACUUCCAUCCCUUAACUAUGUAUUUUCUAUAGGUCCAUAAAUGUGUUUCUGGAGGCGGUAAAGUUCUAAUUCCAUUAUUUUCUGUGGGAAGAGCUCAGGUACUCUAGUUAUCUCUAUAAUUUGAGGGAUAUAAAGUGAUGAUGAACUAUUAUCACUGUUUCACUUAUUGAUCAAGUCCCUUCUAACAAUACUGUCACCUGGGGCACACUGUUUUGAAUUUUCUUAAAUAGAGUAUCCAUUUAGGAUUGACACAGUCCUAUUAUGUAUCUCAGGAGCUAUGCAUGUUACUCUAUGACUAUUGGGAGAGAAUGAACUGGAAGAUUCCUAUGUAUGUCAACUUUUGUUAAAUUUUAACUUGAUUUUAUGUAUUUUCUGCUUUGAUGACGUCAUGUUUGUCCUGUAGGUUUAACCGUACAAUCUAACGUGUACUACAAGAUGCUUAUUGGAUGGACUAGUCAGAAGAUCAAAGACAGCUACAGAGUGCAUAACCCCUUUGACUUCAAGCAUGGUAUGAACUAUGGUUCAGGUCUUUAAAAGCUAUACUCUGUUCAAUCCUAUGCAGACUAAAGAGGAGAAAGAAAAUUCAAACAGUUAGACCUGUGUGCUUUUACUCAUUUUUGUUUUUUUAAGGAUGGAUAUUUAGUUUACCAUGGUGGCAACCUUAGUUUAAUCAUGAGACAUUCAAUGUUUCAUUUAAUCUUAAAAACUCGACCGGCGAGGGAAUGUUUCAUUUAAUCUUACAUAGUUAUAUCAGAAUAACAUUAUUUUUUUUCCCACAUUGCAGUUUGUCACUUUGAGCGUUCCUUCACUGACAACCCUGGUCCAUGUGUACUUUUUGCAACUCCUGGUAUGAUCAGUACCGGUGGUGGAUUUUCUCAUGAGGUGUUUAAAAAAUGGGCGCUGUCAGAAAAAAAUCUGGUUACACUUGCAGGGUAUAUCCCUUAGCUUUCUUAUUUCUUCCAUAUUUUUCUGAUUUUAUUAGAAACUAUAUCUUUUUCUCAUAAAAUCGUUCUCGUUCAUGCUGAUGAACUGUAUCCAACAUGUUGUGCUAACUAUAUUAUGUUCUGAUGCCACCUUUUUUUUCCUGAUGGAGGUAUUGUGCUCCCAGAAGCAUUGGUCAUAAGUUGAUGUCUGGCAAACCUGAAAAGAUUGAUUUAGAGGACACCCAUAUUGAUGUCAGAUGUCAGGUUGCUCUUCAAUUCAGUUUAUACUUUUUGAAAUAUUGUAAAUUUUUUAAAUAAUAAUGAAGGAGGGGGUAAAAAAGGCCAAUGCACUUUGUCUAAACGAGCGAUUUUCUCAUUCGAUGGUAAUGUUUUGUUAGCCAGGGAAAAACUUACCCAUUCACUAUAUCAUUUCAGAUGUUCAACAUAAUUGCUCUAUAGAGGACAGACAUAGUCAAAGGCUUGGGCUUUUUGCGGAAGUUCAUUGGCAUCUGUUGUUUCUCACAUGCAUGUUACUGUCCCAUUAAUAUCCAUUUAUCUUAUCUGAUUCUCUGAAUUAUUUGAAUUUGGGUAGCCAACUUCUCCAUCUAUUUUCACUUCUCGUAUGCUAUCACUUGACACUGCGUUCUUUUCCUUUGCAUGCCAGGUCCAUCAACUAGCAUUCAGUCCGCACACUGACUCCAUAGGGAUCAUGGACCUUAUAGAGUUCCUUUCACCCAAACAUGUAAUUCUCGUUCAUGGUGAAAAGCCUUUGAUGGCUUUCCUGAAGGAGAGGGUCGAAUCUGAAUUGGGGAUGCCAUGCUAUUACCCAGCUAACAACGAGGCCGUCUCCAUUCUGACAACCCAGAACCACAAAAUUAGUGCCACAGAAAGGUUCAUUACAAGCUGUGCUGGUGAGCAAACUGAAGACAAUCUGCGAAAGCGGAAGCUAAUUUGUGGAAGCAAUAUUUCAGAUGCCAAUGGCGAUCGAAAGCUAGCUGAGGGUAUCCUUCUGAUGGAGAAGAACAAGGCUUCGAAAAUUCUGUGCGAGGACGAGCUUGUUCAGGUGCUGGGCAUGGAGCAGCACAUUGUCCAGUAUGAACCAAUGGUCUCCUCCAGAAUUGCAGCAGCUGGCGAGUUGGAAUUGCAGCAGCUAGCAGGCCGAGGCCAGGGAAUGCAGCCGAUUUAGGGUGGGAAGGAAAAUGAAUGAAAUUGUACAUGCUGAGAUUCUGGCCGUGCUUCCUUUUCUUUUCUGCAAAUGAUUAGACCGUUGUACAGAGCUAUAGAUUCUGUAAGACAAAUGCGUAUAUUACCCUGACAAUUCAAUGGUUAGAUUAAAAGUUUAAAUGUGACCUCUUGUUGCUUGACCCACCUUGUUCAUGCAUGAGGUAUAUUGGUAUAAUAAUGAUGGAUGAGAUAUAAUGAUGGCGCGAGGGGUUGGAGGAAAAUGGGUACUAGUUCUUCGUUUCUUCGUUUUAAACUGCCGUAGGUUUGCAAGGCCAACUCACUGCAGGAAAAACAAAUCAGAAGUGCCGAGCAAAAACGCAGGACACAAGGAGUGGUCACAGGGUGGACAUUGGUUGGGAUGAGGUAAUACCCGUCCAGCAACAUAAAAGUAACAACACUUGCCCGGAGCUCAGUACCUCCCAAACAAUGAGUCAAUGACACAACCCAAAUAUGAUUCGCAAACAACCUGAAGCCCGCACGCUAGAAUUUUAGUGAGGUGACUUAAUCAAUGGUUUACUAAUCAUGUCUUCGAUCUUGAGGCUCUCAGGUGGUGACAACCCAAACAACACAAAUACGAUUGAGUAUUUGGGUGGUUGCCUGGUUGGUCAGAGUGAUUCAAUGCAGGGAGUAGGAAAACAUUUGCAAAAGCUCACUACAUACACUUGCAACAAAGAAACUGUAAUGCAAAUAUACCUCUCAACCUGUAAUAGUAACAUGGGGAUGACGCUACAAACAAAUGCAUUUCAUCCAAAGAUAAACAUGCACAUUACUCCCUCUGAUCACAAUCAGCAAACAAAACAAAAUCAACAAAAUCAUGCUAUUCUACUCAGUACACUGAUCUCUUGCCACACAGCAGACGCGGUAAUGUCACAUCAUAUGAUAUAUCCCGCUGCACAUUGUACUGCUACUGCUGUCUGGUGUACUGCUACCCACCGCCCCAGCCCGUGUUGUUGCCUCAGAGCUUGAAAUCUCAGGUGUUUCUGUCCAGUUGGCAGGAUCAGCAGCAACAGCAUAAAGGCUGGACCUCAGAUCAAGCGUCAGGUUAACCUGCUUCACCAAAAGCUCCCUGACACAGCCCGGCAAGUGUUUUAGCAACGGGACGAAAUCGUCGUUUGUGUGGUCGAGAUCUCUAACCUCCAAGAAAACCGCGUAACCAUCCUGGAUCAGGGCCCCUUUGCUCGCCGCGUCAAGAAACGUGUCCCUCAGCUCGGUGAUCGGCUUCACCUGACCCAAGACCAUCUCUUCCGCCUUAAUCCCAGCACGCGUCUCCAGUUCCAGUCUCGAGAGGUAGAUCAGUAACAGUAUGUUCGCGCUCUGAACCCCGUUCAGAAUAUCCAGACCAGGUGAUGGAUCGACAUGGAACGUGGAAGGUUGUGGCUGUGGCUGUGGGUCGGAAGCAGCAACGGAUGCCAAGGAUGCGCCGGCUGACUCCUCGAGAGCUGAGGCGGCGUCGAUGUCGCCGUCGCCGGCAGCUGACGCCGCCGGCGAACCUGCGGUUGAUGCGCUUGUCCUGGGCCUCUUCUUCCGUCGCUCCCCUGCUUCGUCGACCUCCAUCUCUUCCUCUACUCUACGGCUGGCUAAACUCGUAGACCCUAGGUGGCGUGUAUGUAGCGGCGUCACCGUGACGACGGUCGGCGUGAUCGAACGGGUGCAGUUCGGAUUAGAUCAGCCAACACUACCGGGCUACGAUGCCUUCUUUGGGCUGGGUCUCCGAUUGAGUGAGGCGGGCCCAGUCAUCAUUACGCUGAGUGGCCCUCUGGCCCAAUUCCUUAGCCGGCCCAUACCCCUUCUCUGGCUGCUUCAUCUUGCACGGUUGCACCUGAAGAUAUUAUGUGAAAGCGGAAGCGAUCUCUGGAAGCUAUAUGUCAGAACUCAGAAGUCAGUGGUGAUUCGAAACUCGAAAGCUAGCCGAGAGCAUUCUUGUGAUGGUGGAGAACGGAGCUCUGAAAAUCCUGGGCGAGGAUGAGCUUGUUCAGGUGCUGGGCAUGGAGGCAUGGAGCGGCAUCUUGUCCAGUAUUAUGAACCAAUGGUCUCCUCCCCAAUCGCAGGAGCUGGUGAGUUGGAAUUGCAACAGCCAGAAGGACGAGACAGGGGAAUGCAGCAGAUUUAGGGAGAGGAGGAAAAUGAAUGAAGUUGUAUAUGCUGAGACUCUGGCCAUGGUUCCUUUUCUUUAUCUUGAAGGGGAAAGCUAAUUUGUGCUCGAGUGUUUCAGAGCUUUAUAUCAUUCGAUUUUUGCUGCUGCUGCCGCACCACGCGAUUAGACCCUGCAGCCAUCUUCCUCGACUACGGCGAGGCUCCGGCCAUCUUCCUCUACCACUGCAAGUCUCCGUCGACCAUGGCAGGUUAGUGUUUGUGGGUUUGGGGUGGGGGCUUCCAUGGAGCGACGGCUGUAGAAGGAGUCUCCGGCGGCAGGUUUGUCCGGCGGUGGUGGUGGGCGUGGGGCGGUGAGGCAAGGCGGCGGUGGCGCCGCCGGCCGGGCAGUGGUGGACAACCGGUGGGCGGGGUCGGGGCGCGGGCGGGGGCAAGGGCGACGACAACGGCGGCGGGGGUAAGCGGCGGCGGGAAGGGCAAGGCGGAGGUUGCCGCGGGCUGAGUAGGGUAUCGCCGGAGCUCGACGCCGGCGGCGGGGAGGAUAGCACUCGAUUUCUCGGCCGUCGGAUGAAGAUCGAACGCUUGUCCUGCUUCUUCUACCUUGAGCAGCAACGUGAGUCACGCCUGAGUCCUGACACCGUUCUUCUUCCCGAGCUUCCAUGCCCCGCCCCCGCCCCACGUGCCACUGCCCCCGCCGCGGGCUGAGUAGGAUGUUGCAACUUGCAAGACAAAGGUGCAUAUUACCCCCCGAAAUUUUAAUGGUUAGAUUUAAAUGUAAGCCCCUGUUGCCUGGCCCGCCUUGUUCGUGCGUGAGCUAGUGUAUGAUGGAUGAGAUACAUGAUAACGCGAGGGGUUAGUUGGAGGAAAAUGGGUACUCGUUUCUGUCGAGCGCACAGUACAGGCGAUCAGAAACGAGUCAUUGAAUCAAUAAAAGCGACGACCUUCGUUUUAAACUGCCUUGCCGCAGGAAAAACAAAUCAAAACUGCCGACCAGAAAAAAAACAAACAAACUGAAUUUCAAAUCGCAUGUCUCAGUAUCCUGUUUUUCAUUCUACUCUGAGCACACUGAUCUCUUGCCACACACUAGGAAACGAAGCUAUUACACCAAAAAGAAUUCUGGCAAACAGCAUAAGCGCAGCAGUGGCACAUUACUCCAUAUAUGUCCCGCUGCACAUUGUGCUUCUACCGCUGUCUGGCGUAGCACUGACCGGCGUACUGCUGCCUGACGUACCGCUGCCCACCGGCACCGUACGUGGUGUUCGCGAUCUUGAAACCUCAGGUGUUUUUAUCCAAUUGGCAGCGUCAGCAGCAACCACCAAAUAUCUGUGCCUCAGGUCAAAAAUCAGCAUAUCUUGCUCCAGCACAAGCUUCGAAACAUCGCAUGCCAUCCGGGAAGAAACCUGUAGCCAUCCGGAAAACCUCGUAGCCAUCCUGGACACGGGGCCCUUUGCCUAUUAUCGCAUGAAUAAACAUGGCGACCAGAUCGUCGAUCGGCUCCAUUUGGCUCACGAAGGUCUCUGCCGCCUUCGCUCCCGCGGGUGUUUUCAGUCCCCAGAGACGGAGCAGCAGUGUCAUGUUCCCGUUCCGAAUCCGGUUCGGGACGUCCAGACCAGGCCAUGGAUUGAUGGCCACGAGGCAUUGUGGGUGGGAAAAAGCAUCGGAGAUUUCAAGGAUGAGCCGGCGGAGUCCUCAGGAUCCGAGGCGUCGGCAGAGUCCUCAGGAUCUGAGGCGUCGUCGAUGUCGUCGCUGGCAGCAGACGCCGACGACAAACUUGCGCACGGUGUCCUUGGCCUCUUGCGCCGUCUCUCCCCUGCUUCGUCGACCUCCAUCUCUUCCUCGGUGGCCAUGGUGAUACGAGAGAAUGGCAGAAAUCGUGUAUACCCUAGACGGGCGUGGUAUGUGGCGGCGUCCACCGUGGUUACAUACGGUCGUGGUUAUAUGUAGCGGCGUGAUCGAACGGGUAUAGUUCGGACUUCGGACUGGAUCAGCCGAGAUUUACCGGGCUGUGCGUCUGUGCCUCUUGGGUUGGGCCGCCAUGUCAAUCCGAUUGGGUUGGGCUGCCAACGGCCCUUGUGUGUCAGUCUGGUUGGGUUGGGCCCACCGGUGGAAAAAACGACCUACCAUCCUUAGAAAAAAAUCUAGGUUGUUUUUUGACCGGGACUAAAGAAGAUUUAGUCCCAGAUCUAAAUUUCCACCUCCGGUUGAUGUUACAAACUGGACUAAAGUCUCUGAGGGCAACCGGGACUAAAGGGUUACCAACCAGGAUUAAAGGAUUCCCACGAGUUACUGCAAAAGGAUUGCAUUCUCUACUCAGUCAGAUGUGCUGUAUAGGUGAGAUAGUAAGGAAGCUAUGCGUGAGGCUUGAGGUCAUGGGUUCGAAUCUCAUGCACCGCGCACGCGCAUAUUUCAUGUCAAAAAUUGCGUGACAUGUGACUUGUUUGUGUGUGGAAACCUCCAGUACUAUUGCUCAUUUCUCUACCAAUGGCCACCAAUAACCCUUGUACUUUAGGAGGGAGGGUAUGAAAACCGCAAAACCAUCUUGGACGAGGAUCCAUUUGCUUACUGCAUCGAGGUCCCUCAGCUCUAAAGAUGGUAAUAGGCAAAAUGCUCGUGGAUACAGCCCGUGCCCUCCACCCGCCAUGGGCAACCAAGCUUGCCCACGCCCUCCAUCCGAGUGCCUGACAUCAGUCCCAUGGAAGGCUUGCACUCGAGAGCUACUAGGGAUUACCAUUUGCAGAUGCAUGUCAACACAUUAGUGACACAAAUCAACACUCUAGCUUGCAAGAAGGCUGCCCAACUAUGUCUAGUUUACAAAAUUAGUUGAACCAUUAAAGUGAAUGACAUAAAUUACCAACAUCACUAGCAGACUGAACCACAAACAGAAGCGCAAAGCGUCACUCCUAGAUCUGGACAUCCACCAAGGAGCAGAGGUUGCUGCUGAAUGGAGGAAGGCCACCGGCCAGAGGAAGGCUUCGGGGAGGGAUGAGGCUUGAUGGUAGUUAAGGGCUGGCGUUGAUGCAGACUUGCAGAGGAUUUGGGUGUCUAGGACUCGGGGGCAGGUGGCCGGCCGGCGGGAGGAGGGUAGCUUGGAUGGGUGGCGGUGGUCAUGCAGGGGCACUCCUAGCUUGCGACUUCUCAUGUAGCGCGAGUGCCGAGCGCGGCGUGACGGGAGAGGAGUGGGCGGCGGCGGGGACAGGGGUCGGUCGGGGGUGGCCGGGUGUGGAUUGGAAUAAGGGAGAGGAACUUUAAGAUUUGUGUAUACAUAUUCACUCACGUCAGACCUGUGGAGCGGGUAUGCGGCGAAUAUAGCAAUUUUCUUUGCCCGCGCGAACAACUAUCCUAUGGGUGCUUGCACCCAUGCCCAUGGGCUAGGAAAUGACACCCAUGCCGCAUCGGGUUCCAUGCUUGCAGGCACGUGGGCAUUAUGUGCCCGUUGCCAUCUUUACUCAGCUCGGUGAUCGUCUCAACCUGACCCAACGCCAACACCACCUCCAUCGCCCUCGCUCCGGCAGGUGUCUUUUAAUCUCGAGUGGUCGAUCAGUAAUGCCGUGUUGGCGCUCUGGAUCCAGUAACCGAUGCUGGAUUGACGCGGAGCAUGGAGGGCUGUGGCUGUGGCUGUGGGUGGAAAGAAGCAUGAGAUGUAAGGAUGCGUAGUCGGCAGAGUCCUCAGGAUCUAAGCUGCCGUCAAUGUCGUUGCUAGCGGCAGACACCGGCAAACUUGUGCCCUUGGUCCUCGGCCUCUUCUUUGGUCUCUCCCCUGCUUCGCCCAUCUCCUCCAUCUCUUCCUCUCCAUCGUCGGUUUUAGAUGAGGUCAUGAUUAUGGGCCUGUUUGGCUACACUCCACUCCAAAUUUUUGAGCUCCACUCCACCAACUCCACCACAUUGUAUCUCCACUCUACCAACUCCAAAAAAAUACCAGAGUUGUCCACAUGUUUGGCAAAAUGUACAGAUCCAGCUCUGGAAACAGAAGGUCUUGUUGUGUAAAUCCAUUAUACCCAUGUGAAUGGGUCCCACUUAUCAGUCUCCUUUAGUUCUCCCCUUCUUCUCCUUUGCUGGCAGGGGCGGCGCGGCGGGCAGGGGCGGGUGGCACGCGGCGGGCAGGGGCGAUGCGGCGAGCAGGGGCGGUGCGGCAGGCAGGGGUGGGCGGCGCGGUGGGCACGACCGACCGCGGUGGAAGGCAGGGGCGACGCAGUGGGCAGGGUGGGAGGGGGCGACGGGAGGAUUCUUUUUGUUUCGCGAACCAGUAAGUUGUGUAAUGAGUGGUAAUGGUGGGUAAAUACCCACCAACUCCACGAGGAGGUCUAUAAAGGAGUUUUUGGAGCAGCUCUUGAGGUACUCAAAAAAACGUGGAUCUACCCUCCCGCUCCACCUUUUUUCUGGAGUCGGAGUUGCUGGAGCUAGACACGUUUGGCUGUGAAAUUUUUAGAGUUGGUGGAGUGGAACAAUUUUUCAUGGUGUGGAGUGCUCCAUCACACAGCGGCGUGAUUUAACGGGUACAGUGUCCGACUUCGGAUUGGAUCAGCCGAGACUUACCGGGCCUCUUGGGUUGGGCCGCCAACAGCCUUGUUGCCUGUCAGCCCGAUUGAAUCAGCGGCGGCAACCCGCCCGGGCGGCGCCGCACAUUACAGCCCGUCUCUUGGUCUCGCGCGCGUCCGCCCUCCGCCGCCAACCCCCCGCCGUCGGCCAUCGGUCCGCCGCCGCGGCAACCGGCGGUGCCCGCCGCACUGAGGCCGACCCGCAUCCCUGGCGCCGCGCCUCACAUAUCAGAGCACACGCAUCGAUUCGAUUCCCAUCUAAGCCUUCGGUCCCCGCGCGGUGCCACGGCGGCGGCGGCGAGCCAUGGCAAUCGAGUGCCUCGUGCUAGGUACGCGGCAGCGCCCCCUCUCUUUCUCCCUCCCUCGCUCCUCCAAAGCCCCGGCUCGAUUACAACCACUCUAACGCUGCGCCGUGCUGGGUUGCGAGUGCAGGGGCGGGGCAGGAGGUGGGGAAGAGCUGCGUGGUGGCGACCAUCGCCGGGAAGCGGGUCAUGUUCGACUGCGGCAUGCACAUGGGCUACCACGACCGCCGCCACUACCCGGACUUCGCGCGCGCUCUUGCCGCCUGGGGCGCGCUGGAUUUCACCAGCGCCCUCUCCUGUGUCGUCAUCACGCACUUGUGAGUAUUAUGUAGAUAAUAAAUGUUUUACCCUGUCCUCUUUUUUUUUUUCGCUGGCGAUUUUCUUCAACUUUCUGGUUUGAUUGGUUACCGACUGAAGAAGCUCGCGCCCUGCAGCCACUUGGAUCAUAUUGGGGCGCUGCCCUACUUCACUGAGGUCUGCGGGUACCACGGCCCCAUCUACAUGACGGUGAGCUCCGACGAAUAUUCAGAUUGUUGUUUGGGUAUGUCAGUUAUUUUCUGUAAGUAAAUUGACUUUAAGUUGGAUCGAUUUGUUGAACUUUGGAUUAUACUGCUUCUGAGCUAGGCAGUACUGCUAAUUGCCACUCGUGAUACUAUCAUACUGUGGUAAGGUCCAAUGUACAAAAUGUACUGCUUGCUUGAAUCUCAGAAAAUUGCUAUCUGUGUUCCAGCUGUGUCAAUUGGGAGUUGGGUAAAAUCAGCGAUUUUUCCAUCCUUGAUUUGAGCAGGCACAGAUAAUGAUCUUGCAUUAUUAGCUCAUAUGCUUGGGUCUUUGUCUUCCUUGGUUUCCCCUGUUCUUAUAUGAGAAGCAUCUAUAUUUCUUGAUGAUUGAUAUUCACCCACCCCAUAACUUCUUUCAUGUUUUCUCAAGCAGUAUCCUACAAAGGCUUUAGCUCCAUUUAUGCUGGAGGAUUAUCGGAAAGUAACGAUGGAUCAGAGAGGGGAGGCAGAGCAAUAUAGCUAUGAAGAUAUUCUUAGGUGUAUGAAGAAAGGUAACCUUAGUCAACUUUGCAAUUUUUAUUGCCUUCCUAUUUACAAACUGAUGCUGAUGCAGAAGUAGGCAUAUAUCAUAAUUCUCUUUUGCCUGACAUACUUGACCUUUCAGUCAUACCCUUGGACUUGAAGCAGACUGUUCAAGUAGAUAAAGACCUUGUGAUUCGUGCAUAUUAUGCUGGACAUGUAUGUUCCUUGGUACUUUUUUACCAUUCCAUAUUAUGUUUGUGUUCUGUAAAUUCUUUGAAAUGAAGUAUUGAUUUAGUUCUCUGCUUUCUAAUCUAGUAAAACCAUCAUUCCAAACUCAAGGUUCUAGGGGCUGCCAUGAUUUAUGCAAAAGCUGGAGAUGCUGCUAUGGUCUACACCGGAGAUUACAAUAUGACACCAGAUAGACAUCUUGGGGCUGCACAAAUCGAUCGUCUCAAAUUGGAUCUCUUGAUAACAGAGUAUUGUCCAACCUCCAACUAUAAACAUGUUUUUUUCUAUUUGGUGGUUCCCUUUACUUGGAUUUUUAACCACAUGUUGUUAUGAAUUAUGCUGCAUUACAUCCAUAGGCUCUUUCUUAUGUGUUCCCACCAUAGGGGCAAGGGGGCAUCUUGUUUGACUUUUCAUUGUGUGAUUGCAUUUUUUUUUUGAGGAAUGUGAUUGCAUUUGUUGAUAUCAGGUCUUGGGAACAUGCUGCAGACUGGUAACCUCUAUGGACUUAUUGCUUGGGUCCUGUUGUUAGCCAGUGUGUUCACCUGACAUCAUUUAGGAUAUUGCUGUGAAUCAUCUAUAUAGUCGGCUAUUACUCAUUACUUGUUAUUUGUUGAAUGUAGUUUUUGAUACUACAACAGAGUACAUUGAAUCUGCAUUCGUUUUAGGAUUGUGCUGGCAUCUUAAUGUUGUACUGUUAUAUAAUCAAGCUAAGAGCACAAUUGGCGUGCUGAGUAUUUUUUUUUGUAUACAUCAUGAAGUAGUAAAUAGCAUUGUUCUUUGUGCAGGUCCACAUAUGCUAAAACUAUACGUGAUUCGAAGCAUGCCCGAGAGAGGGAGUUCCUAAAAGCGGUAUGAACAUGUGAACUUUUAUGCUGCCAAUGUAGAGAUUUGGUAAUUUUUAGUUGCAUGUGUAGCAACAAUUGCUUUUGCAAUGGUCGACUGUUAAGUUUUGAUUGUACAUGCUUAGGUUCUUCUGGCACAAUACAAUAUAGGAAGUGUGUCGACUUUUUUUUUAAUCCUACAACCAUGGUUUUUGAGUUGUUGUGGCCUCCUGUGGUGUUGGGGACACGCCUGGAUGCUGAGAUGGCAUCUAGGUGACAAGUCAUUAGGACCUUGUGGUGUUAGGGGCACGCCUGGAUGCCUAGGCAAUGGUGCAAUGCCUUAAAAACCAUAACUACGAUCUUUGGCAAAAAAAAAAAAAUUCUUACUGUAUUAAUCCAAAUCCUAUGCAUUGUACAUUGGUUGAGUUUCAAGGCUUAACUGAAUAUAUGUUUUCUCUAGGUACAUAAAUGUGUUUCUGGAGGGGGUAAAGUUCUGAUUCCGACAUUUGCUCUGGGAAGAGCUCAGGUGCCCUAGUUCUCUCUUAACACAACUUUAUGAGACAAAAUCAUGACUGACUAUUACCCCCAUUUUGCUUAAAUGAGCAAGUUCCUCUGAGAAGUACUGUACCUAUGGGCACACUAUUCACAGUCUUCAUAAAUUAAAUGUCUAUUUAGGAGUGACACUGUCCUGUUGUGUAUUUCAGGAGCUAUGUAUGUUACUGGAUGACUAUUGGGAGAGGAUGAACUUGAAGAUUCCUAUUUACUUCUCAGCUGGUAUAUGUGGUUUCUUGAAAAUUGAAGCCUUAAUCUUCUUUUUUUUGUAUUUUCUUCUUUUUGUGAAGUUAUGUUUGUUGAUAUUUCUAUAGGUUUAACCAUUCAAGCUAACAUGUACUACAAGAUGCUUAUCGGAUGGACCAGCCAAAAGAUCAAGGAUAGUCAUGCAGUGCAUAAUUCAUUUGACUUCAAGCAUGGUAUGGUUGGGUUCUUCAAAAGCUAAUCCAUCCAAUCCUAUGCAGAAUAAAGAUAAAGUGCAUAUGAUUGUGUUAAAGAUCUAAAUAUUCAGUAGACCAUUAAAUAAACUUGCAGUUUAUCUUUUGCAUUUUGUUACAAUUUGUAACUGUGCAACACCAAUUGAAUAUUGUGUGCUUCUACUCAUUUUAAUGUUUCUUUAAUGAAAUAUAUUUUUAGUCAAUCAUGAUACUGAGAAUAAUUUUUGCUAUUUCAAUUUAAAAUAGGAAAUGUUCUAUCCUUUUUUGUUGUUCUCUUAUGCAUCCUCCAACAAUGCUACUUCAGCUAGCUCGUAUGAAUCCACCUCAUCACUUUGCUUACAUGGAAGAGAGAGAAGGUGAGGAGAGAGAAUGUACUAUCUCUUCUUCAAGAGGUAGCUCAUAGAGAAAGUGGCCUCCACACUUUAUUGAUGAGAGAGGUGUUGUAGGACCCAAAAUAAUUUGAGCAAUGUGCUAGGAGAUAAACCAUUGGAGAUAUAAUCUUUUUGCUAUCUCUUAUGUGAGAUGGAGAAGCUUUGAGCUAGUGUAUUAGCUCAACCAUUGGAGGCGGCCUUAUACCAGAAUAACACAGAAGCUUUUUUGUUUAACAUUUCAGUUUGCCACUUUGAGCGUUCAUUCAUCAACAACCCUGGUCCCUGUGUACUUUUUGCAACACCUGGGAUGAUUAGUGGUGGAUUUUCCCUUGAGGCAUUUAAGAAAUGGGCGCCAUCAGAGAAGAAUCUGAUUACACUUCCAGGGUAUACUCCAUACCUUUCUUGUUUCCAACAUUUUUUCUAGUAUGGUAAAUCACUCUUAUUCAUACUGGCAACCUUUACCCUAUAUGCCACCUUUCUAUUUCCCACAUGCAGUUAUUGUGUUGCUGGAACCGUUGGUCAUAAGUUGAUGUCUGGGAAAACUACGAAGAUUGUUUUAGACAAGGACACCCAUAUUGAUGUCAGAUGUCAGGUUGCUUUUCACCUCAUUUUAUAUGUUAUGAAAAAUUGUACAAUUUUAAAUUAAUAAUGUUAGGUGUCAAGGAAAUUGUUAAGCAGAAGGAAAUCUUUUAAUGGCUAGUGUUUGGCUUACUCUUCUGAAUAUACUCAAACUUGAUAAUUAAUCCCUGCUGUUCUUUUCACUUCUGAUAUGCUAUGCCCUCACUGAGUUGUUUUUCUUCUUUAAUUUGUGCACCAGAUCCAUCAGCUAGCAUUCAGUCCUCACACAGACUCCAAAGGGAUCAUGGAUCUGACUGAAUUUCUUUCACCCAAACAUGUAAUUCUUGUCCAUGGUGAAAAGCCUCAGAUGGCUUUCUUGAAGGAGAGGAUCGAAUCUGAAUUGGGGAUGCCGUGCUUUUAUCCAGCUAACAAUGAGUCUGUCUCCAUACCAACAACCCAUACUCUCAAAAUGAGCACCACCGAGAGGUUCAUUACAAGCUGUGCUGCUGAGCAAGGUAAACAGAGCCUGCGGAAGCGGAAUCUGAUUCAUGGUACUGGUGCGUCAGAAGUGAAUGGCAGUGAUGAGGCUGCUGCGGAGGGUGUUCUGGUGAUGGAGAAACACAAGGCUCCAAAGAUUUUGUGUGAGGAUGAGCUUCUCCAGGUGCUGGGCAUGGAGCGUCAUCUUGUCCAGUUUGAAGCAAUGGGCUCCUCUAGAAUUGAAGCGGCUGUUGAAUGGGAGCUGAAGCGGGCCGAGGCAGCCGAUUUAGGUAGUGAGGAAAAUGAGUGAAACUGUACAUGCUGUAAUUUUCAAUUAUUUUCACCUUUUCUUUCUUGGAAAUACUCGGAAUGUUAUACACAUGGUCAUUGGGAGAGAAGCACACCACCGAAUUGUAACUUGAGUGGCAACAAAUUUUGGUACCUCCCUUGGGUGUGUUGUAUAUUAUCCUCAGAAUUCAUUGGUUAAAUCUGUGCUCCUGCUGCUUGAGCAACCUUCCUGAUGCAUAAUGCAUUCGCCCAAAAAAAGAAAAAACCUUCCUGAUGCAUGAGCUAGUGCAGGACAGGAUGGGAUGAUACAUGAUGAACCGGUUAUUUCUGUCAAGAGCGCCGUACAGGGUAUCUGUAACGAGUCGUAAAAUGAUUUCAAGCAACGUCAAGGUCAAGAGCAAGGCACUUUUUAAACUGCAGCAGAUUGCUUCCGUGCAAGAUCGUUGGUCAUGCGCGUGGCCGAUCAGUGCAAGUUUCGACUGAUGUUGCCGUCCUGUGUUCCUGAAUGCUGAACAAGUCCAACUUCAGUCAUACACUCCGUAGCUCAGAAUUCCAAACCACCUUUUUCUCUAGGAUUUAUGCAUGGAACAAUCAAGUAGUCGUCAGUCCACUCUCGGAAUGUUGAAACUGGACCGUGAUCUGUGUACUGCAUAAAGACUUUGCAUCUGACGUGAAUAUGUAACCGGGAUUAUGCAUGCUUGCAUAAACCAGCUGGUUGCGUCAGUCUAAUCCGUCAAAAACGUUUUCUUCAUCCUCACGCGGCAAUGCCGCUGAAGUUAACAUCGUCAGCUACUCAGCUGGCUGGCUCAGCAAUCGAUCGUCUCCAUCUGAACGAUGGGUUAGCUCGCUGCAUGCCUAUAAGUAGACUUCAUGGCUUCGAGCUUUAGACGCACAACAACCUGUUAUACUCUCAGCUGCUCGAGCCUUGAGCUAAUCAGCAUUCAGAAAGGCUGCUCGAGAUCUAGCUUAUUAGCUUGCUGCACGAUCAAGAUGAAGGGAGGAGUGAGAGGAAGAGGUGCGGCUGGAGCUGCGGCGGCGCUGCUUGCGCUGCUGCUCGUCGCAGCGUCGUCGGUGCAUGCCGAUGCCGCGGCAGCACCGGCACGGCGCCUGCUAGGAGCUGAUGGCGCCACCAUGCAGCCGUUGGCGGCGGCGGCGCCGCCACCACCGCAGGUUUCCGUCAGCAAAGCCGCAGGGUCUUGCGGCACGAACGACCCAAACAUUUCUUGCCCUCCGCCACCGCCCGCGCCAUAGCAAGCUAUAGAUAACUAGCUAUACCUACACGUGCAUACACUCUUCCUGCAUAUAAGCAUGGAUUUUUUCGUCCAAAGGAUUUGUUUAGCUUGGAUAAGUUUAUUGUUUGUAGGCUGGCAGGAAGUGACCUCGAAUACUUUAUUUGUAAGAAGUGGAUAAUAAUUUGUUCAUUUGGAUUAUAUUGUUACACCAGUUGUCUUGUAAUAUACAAAGAGCAAUCAGCUAUCGAUUUGGUUUAACUACUGGGCAGUGGGCAUAUGAUAUCUUCUGUGUGGAUCGGUUGAGUGGAUUGAUAUGCUGCUCUGCUUUGCUAUACUGUUUUACAAACAAGCUAAUCUUUUACGAAACACAAUAUGAAGUACACAUUUUUAUACUCUCUUAAACGAAAUUUGUAUUAAACCUUGUAGAGAUGGAACUGCGUGAAACCACGCCUAAUAUAUAUAAAUCGUCUGAGUUCAAAGACCGGUUAUACGUUGUGUUCAUCACUCACACGGGGGACAAUAUGGGCUCAACUGCAUCUCUACCUAGGCCCAUUAUGUCUAAAGAAAAAAAACAAGAAAUAGACAUUGUGGUCAAACCGAAUGCCAACUCAGCGGAUCGGUUGACUUGACCCUAACUGAUGGAUAGGUCAAGGGUGUUUGGAUUGUUAGUCUAGACUAAAAUUCAUGUCACAUCGAAUAUUCAUAUUUGGAGGUUAAUUAGAAAGACUAAAUAUAAGCUAAUUAUAAUAAUUAUAAAAUUAAUUACACAGAUGAAGGCUAAUUCCUGAGACAAAUCUAUUAAGCCUAAUUAAUCCAUCAUUAGCACAUGUUUACUGUAGCACCAUAUUGUCAAAUCAUGGAUUAAUUAGGCUUAAUAGAUUCGUCUUGCAAAUUAGCUUCCAUCUAUACAAUUGGUUUUUGUAAUUAGUCUAUGUUUAAUACUUCUAAUUAAUAUCUAAAUAUUUGAUGUGAUAGAAAUUUUAGGAGAUCCUAUAAAACAAACGGGCCUAAAGAAAGCUCAAAGUCAAUCCACGGGUUUCUUUUGGUAUGGAAUGUCUUAGCCGCGAAGCUUCACUGGCAGACUGCCUGCAGCCUGCAGGGACCACUGUCGUUUGAAUCAAGUAGUCAGCAAUAAGUGCUGCUGCAAACUAGACCGCUAGCUGCAAGCUGAAAGUUCUUCAGUUCUAAUUUAUAUGGGAAUUCUAAACUUGAAAGUUCUUCAGUUCUAAUCUAUAUGGGAAUUCUGAACUUUUGAAUGCUGAACAAGUCUAAGGGUGUGUUUGGUUAGGCUGUGAUUUUUGGAAAAACUGUUGUGAGCUGUGGGCUGUGGAAAAGCAGCUGUGGGAAAAGCAGAAGACCGUUUGGUUAGAGCAGUUGUAAAACUGUAGGCUGUGCAAGAAAUACCUGUAAUGCCCCUAAAGGUCUAUGGGUGUGUUUAUAUGCAAAUUGCUCGUAACAAAAUAAUGUGUUCACUAAUUCACAUGUAAAUGACUAUUUUAGAAAGAAAAAAAUAAAUUUUACGUGUUCAUCCAUCAAAAUGAUUGGUUCGCAAAAAUAGAGCAAUAUCCAUCAAAAUUAAGUUUAUACAAUGAUGCCAUCCCUCAACAUUACUGUUCUCCUCUUGCACUAAUCAAAGCAUCAGGUCUAGUACGAAUGGUAUCUUCAGUUUGGGUGCCUGGAUAACUCGGAUCUUCAGGCCACACACGUUAGACCAUCUAUGAUGAUACUUGCCAAGGAGCAUCCUCCAUGAUGACUUCUUCGAGCUUUCUUUCUCGGCUGAGAACAUCCGAUACACCGAGGCUCCGGAGCGUCGAGGAGAUGAUCCGGAGAUGACGAUAAUCGAGGUUGUACUGCAGCACCAAGCUCUGCAGGACAAGGCAUCUGUACAGGAUGUCAUGGAGAGUGCACUCGGAGAUCCUGACGCCCUUGGGCGUCAGUUGCUCGAGGCGCGGGAAACCGAGCGUGCCGCAAGCGGCGGCGGCCUCCGCGGGGGCUUGAGGAACUCAAGUCCGCCAUGGUUAGAGCAGAUGCGGAGCACGCGUAGGGUUGCCGAGAAGCGGAACACGGACAGCGGCGCCGGCACCGGAUUCCGGCAGAUGUUUUUCAGAGCCAUAGCGAUGGGGAAGGGGGAGGAGAAGCGCAGCCAGAGGCAAAACUCCUGGAGCCCGUCGAGGCCUGGUGGCCGAAGCAUGUCGUCGAUCUGGGUGCGGGUGCCGUCGGUGGCGGGUAGCAGCCUGAUGACGGCGCCGAGGACGUCGUCCGGGAGGCGGCCGAUCAGUUGUGCGUCUCCUUCCUCUCCUCUGGGUGCCAGAGGUGGUCGCUGUUGCCGCAGCGGGCCACGAGGGCAGUAGCGGCGCGCGGGAGGCGCAGGCCCAGUAGGCACGGCGGCGGCGGCGGCGCCCGCGCCCACGCCCGGCGGUGGCGCGAUGGUGCUCGGGCUUGACGGCUUCUCUCACGUGACAGAAAACAAAGAAAAAAAAUAAAAGAACGAACGGGUAUGUUCAUAACCAGUGGUAGGUGGGUAACUUUUUACCCUAAAAGUACUUGAAAGCAGGGGAAGGUGCUUUUGUUUUUGUACUAGAGCAAAAUCAGCUUUUGACAAAAAUACCUGUGGCUUUUAGAUCCUUUGGUUGGCUUUUGGCUUUUGCAAAAGCAAAAGCAGGUUGAAAAGUCCAACCGAAAGCACCCAAGUCCAAACCACCUAUAGAUGGCCAUUUGGGCCGCAGGCAUGGCCUAGCACAUGGUAAGGAGGCACAAGCACGGUUGCACCGUGUUGGCCUGGCACGGUGAUGCUGCCGUACCAGGCUGUGCCUAUCCACAAAUCAGCACGCACAGUUGGAAUAGCGUGCCGUGCUAGCUCACAGCUUGGUAAUAAAAAACAUCAUCAUUUUCAAAUUUGGCAAUACAAAGGUGAAAAAUUGCAAAUUAUAAAAUUUAUCUCAGAAAUUCAAAAGUCACAAAUCUGGACAUCAACUGAUGAUCAAAUCACAAAGUCAACAUAUUCACGUAGCACAUAGGCCACAAAAUGGCAGGUUACAAUAUCACACGUUGACAGACAUAAGUUUUUUCCCCUAUGGGCUAUGCCCGAAUUUCAUUACUUCAAGCAAGCAACGAAAUUAUAAGGUCGGUGGAUUAGAUUCCACCGUACAUUCAGAGUUUCUAACCUAGACUUGCAAACAUGAAAUUAACAGGCUGUAACACAGAGAGUUUCAAGGCUGUAACACAGAGAGUUUCAGGCAUCAAGAUUCAAACUACUGUCACUGACUACACACCAGCCACCGUCUUGAGUGUUUCAGAUUCUGCAUUCUCCAUCGCAAAAGUAAACUUUUAGCACCCAUUCUUGUCAGAUUCACUUCACUGAAGAAGUACCGUCCCUGUGUCAUCCGCUGGGGCCUCCUGUGGAUGAUAAUGCGGAGCCGCCACCUUGAGUGCUUCGGCCCCUUCUUCCAGCUUCAUUCUGUCUUCUUCUUUCUGCAAUUCUGCCCAGUAUAUAAGAAACAAUGAGGCAGAGCAAAUGAUCUCAGUAGGAGAUCGAAUAAUUUUCUUAUCAAAACAAACACUAUUUCUUGCUUUCCAAAUAGCCCAGCAAACAGCCGCAAGACCAACCAUAUGAAAUUUCCUACAAUUUUUUAGAAAAGAAUUAGCCCACACCCAAAAUUAAUUGUUCCAGGUUACAAGGUCUACAGUUUGCUCCAACCACCAAGGCAAUCAAACUCCAAAUAUAUUUUGCCAUAGCACACCCAAAGAACAUAUGUUCCACUGUUUCUCUUUCUGAACAGAAAGCACAAGAUUCAUCUCCUUGCCAUUUCCUUCUCACCAAAUUAUCUUUUGAAAGAAUUGCAUUAUGUUGCAUCAGCCACAUGAAAAUCUUAAUUUUCAGUGGCAUCUUAGCUCCCCAAAUGUUACUGUUUGUUACAGAGGGUUCAUUGCUAAACAUAUGAGAAUACAUGGAUUUGACUGAAAAGACUCCUUUCCCCUCCCAUAUUCAUUUAGGCUUAUCCGUAUCAUUAGAUAAAGCAAAAGAAGUCAGUAAAUCAUUCAACCUUCUCAGUUGGAUUUGUUUACUUUCAUCGAGCCAUCUCCUAAAAGUGAGUCUCCAGUUUCUAUUUGCUAUAUGAGCAACAGUUUCGUUACAUAUUUCAUACAACUCCGGGAACUUAUCUUUUAAGGACACAUUCCCACACCAUGAAUCACUCCAAAAGUCGGUUUUCUUACCAUCCCAACUAUCGUUACUCUCCCUUUAAGUAUAAAUCUUUAACUUUGAUCAGAUUAUUCCACACCGGCGAAUUCGUUGGUUUGCUCUUUAACUGAGACAAACAUGCAUUUAUAACAUAUUUUUUCUUUACAAUUUCUUGCCAUAAGUACAUAACACAUAUUUAGUAUUUACAGAUAGAGCUAUUUCAUAGUUAGGUUUGGCUACCUUAUUAAAAACCUUCCUAGGUAAAAACUUACACUUGGUGAGAAAACCUUAAUCAGGAAGGAAAAAGAGUACAACUCAGCUCAACGAAAUAAGUUUAUGAGUUCAUUACAUGACAUGAUAACAAGAUAACAAGAACUGAAGAACACAUUAGCAUUUCAUCAGGCCAAGGCCACCAGCCUCCACAAAAGUUUCCAAUUCAUCACUUGAUCACUUGGCAGGCCUAGCAAGUAGUGAAAAUACAAGUUCAAAUUCAUGUUAAAGUUCUAGCUAAACGUUCCAUAACUAUCUAGCAAAACGUGUUGUAAGUUCUAACAGAUGAUAAGUUGAAUUCUAGCAUGGAACAAUCAAAUAGUCGUCAGUCCACUCUCUUUAACUGUUGAAACCUUGUUGGUUCAGAGCAAGCUCUUUACCAAACACUCAAAGAAAGCACACACAAAUGGGAAACAAAACUCUCUUAGGGCUUGUAUUUCUCCAAAAAUGUGAACCCUUGUACAAUAGGGUGUUGACAGCAGUUAGCAUGCUAAUUUGUGAACCGCAAGUGCACGGAUCAUCGUAGCUUGUCCCUUAGAGUAUUUCAUCCAAGGUUUAUCAAAUCGUGGAUUAGCAGCGAACUGACUAGGGUUCUCUAUCUAGCUAAAUGGAUCUAAUCCUAUCAUGAAGCAUGAAUUGCAUAUAAAGGUAAACCCAAUGGAGAGAUAAGUAUUAUAAACAAGGUAAAUAGAUCACAUCCAUAUAUAUGAGGUAACACAACCAAAGGUAGCAUGAGCCUAUUGUCUUCUUGUUGUAGUUCCAGCCAAAGUGGUAACCAAUAUAUGUAGCACCUUGAUAAAGAAUCAUUUCUCAGAAAGGUGGCUCGCAAGCGGCCUACUUUCCUGUAGUCACCACUGCGAGGUGCAUGUUAACGCCUCCGGUCUCCCAAGGCUUUACCUCAAAAGACUCCCACAAUACUCGCUAUCGAUCCUACUCAACAUUACGCAAUCGUUCAACUUUUCCCCUCCCAUAUGUUGUCACCAUGCAAAGGUAGUCACACCGACUUCCUACGCACUACUAAGAUGUAUCCGCAAGACAUAGACUAAUCAUCAUGAUUACAUCUAUUCCUACUAAGAACAUAUGCUAGCUAAACAUAUGAGAAUAAGCAUGCAUCAUAGUAGAUCAAAGUAAGCACAAGAUUAGAUUGAUAUCACCAUCGUGUGUACAUAAGCCUUGGUGAUCACAAGGCUCGGCUCCAGAACUCCACCAUGGCUUCGCCACGCAGGGACGACCAUGGCGGCUAGGGUCUAGCCUAAGCCAUCUCCUAGACAACCUUGAAGACUUGCAGUAGCCUUUAGCUUCCUCUAGUGUGUGUCCCUAUAUUUGUCGACUUCUGGUAGAUGGAUCUUGUGUGACGAUGAAUUUUGGGCAUACUUAUCAUUUGGAGGACGCGUGGCUGAAAUAGGAAGGCGAGGGGAGCAAGGACAGCCCCAGGCCAGCCUGGAGGGGUGAGGGAGGGGGGGGUCCAGGGAGAUCGGCAUGGCCCUUCCUUUUAUCCCCUCGCGCCCAACUUCAUUGCCAAGUCUCCUCUAAUGUUCUAGAAGCUUAUUUUUGUAUGCAUGUGGGUCUGACACGUCGAUAGCUGCGGGAUGAGAUUGAUCUUUGCUAACUUUCCAAAUCUCUGCUUGAUCUUCUUUGAUUUCUCUUUGAUCCCGAAGUGAUACUUUCCAUAUCUUCACAAUCUUAGCUCUUAAGUAAUCUUGGAGGAGUGCUUGCCAAAAGUGAGCAUCGGAGGGGGUCAGAAGACUCCUAGCUGAUCGACUUGGGCUUCACCAGGCUGAUCGGCUUGGGUUCUUUCUGAGCCCGCUGGCCUUCGUCUUUGAUAGGUUCGUUGCUUGUUCACGGCUUUAUCCAACAAUAUGCUUUUAGGUCCAAUUUCCUGCAAAAAUAGAAUGUCCUCCAAAAUACAAUGCAUAUGGGAAAACGGGGUUAUUUUAGGUGCCAAGUGGUGGGUUAGUAUAAUAAUAUGUAUGAAAAUAUCACUUAAAUGGCACUAAAAGUAUGUCAAUAAUGAGCGUCAAUAAUUCCCCCAUGCUUAAACCUUGCUCGUCCUCGAGCAAGUCCAGGAUACUUACUUAAUCUAGAAAUCAGCGUUGCCCUUUGAUGUCGUCCCUGCACUCAGUUAUACAUAAUAAGACAUAUUUCUCUCUCAAGUAUUUAGCAUUUAAAGUUCAAGUUAUGACCGGAUACUUUUCAUCAUGGAAGAUAGAAUUAGCAAUAAAGAACAUGCCACAAUAAAAUAAAUACAAUGCUCUUGAACUUAAGUGAACUUCAGACCUUUACCUUGUUCCAUCAUGAAGAGUUUUUCAAAAGAUGCAAAUGCAACACAAGUGAGAUUCUCUUGCAAUAGUUCAUGGAAAUACUCAUCUCAUAUAUGAAAGUGGAAGGCUUAUGUGGAGCUUGGUAGGUAGAAACAAUCCUAGCAAGAUAUUAUAUCUAAAAUAUUAAGUCACUCAAGCCUAUACUAGAUUAUUUUCAACCUAUUCUACUCAUAUAUGAAAGUGGAAGGCUUAUGUGGAGCUUGGUAGGUAGAAACAAUCCUAGCAAGAUAUUAUAUCUAAAAUAUUAUCAAACUAAGAGAGAGAUCUAUUGAGAUUACUUAGACUUGUCAAAAAGGUCAUGGAAAAUAAAUUUUGGAGAGGAAGAGGGAUGAAACAUACACAUUUAGAUAAGUGGACAUGUGCAAGUGGCAAAUGAAUGAUCCAGGGGCACAAAUGAAGUUCUCGUUAUCAGAUUGCACAUGGUUGGAAAAUGAGUAUGGAUCAAUCCUUAAUCUUGAGAGCACUGGGAACUUUAAUAAGGCUUAAAGAACUAAGGAGAAUUUUAUUCUUUUUCUUAUUAUCAUUUUGUCCUUUUUCAUUCCUUUUUUCUUUCUUUCUUCUUUCUUUCUUUUUCCUCAUUUUUCUUUCUUGUUCCUAAUUUUUUUUCAUUUUGCUCCUCAGAACUUCUUGCAACAUAGUACUUUACUCAGCAGUAGUUAGAGAUAAUGCGAUGACUCCUCUCCCAUACUUAGAUGAUGCUCAUCCCCGAGCAUGAAAAGGAAGGAAGAUAAACUGCUGAUUUAAGCACCAAAAUCUUCGAUCUUCUACAAAAAAAUUAUUUUAUUCCUCUGGAGGGAUUUCCACCCCAAAUUUCAAAGAGAACAGAGGGGGAAACACCUCAGGUCGAUCAGCCUGGCCCCUUCUGGCCUCUGUUUUCUUCGCUUUUUAUUCUCCGUACUGGUGGAUGCCUCCAGCUCUUAAUUUUCUUUAAAAGGCAUUGAUUAAUCUUCUGAGUCUUUGUCAAAAUAUUUUUCCAUACUCAAUAAUAGGUUCUGGUCAAGGAGGUAGUCACAAAAAUGAUAUAUUUGGGUUUAGGUUGGAUGCCCAGCGAGGUUCAUGAAAUUUCUAGUGUAGAAAUUCAUAAUGCAUGGACAAAAAGGCUAGAAGAAAAAGGUUUACAUAGAGGAGAUGGCCAGCUUCUAAGUCUCAUACCACAAAAAUCAAUCUUAAUCCAACUCAUCAAAAUAUAAGUUUGCAAUCUAAAGGUUUCAUCAUGAAAGAUCAUGCAUGUAUAUAGGCUCUGGUAGAUAGAACUUUGCAAGAGAUUCACAAAUGUAGAUAGAAUAUGAAUUAAUUUUAAAUUAAAACAAUUCAAGUUAUCAUGUCAUCAGAAAACUUAAAUUGAAGAGCAACAUAGAGUUUGUGGGUCUAGAGUUUUGUCAUUUAACCUCCACAAUUAACAGAGCCGGUAUUUAAUCAAUUUAAGUUCAUUAAACAGAGAACAAUUUGUCAAGUCACAUAAAACAUUGUGUAGGUAAAACAAAACGGCAACCUUCAUCAUUUUUCCAUAAGCAAGAUUAUACCAAAAUUAUUAACAUCGUGGUGAGCACAAGGUGAUGGUGAUCAAUCAUUUAACAAAAAUAAAAACUAGGUUGUACUCCUAGUAGCCAUGUUAUUAUAUAGAGAGAUAUACAAAGGUUGCAUCGAGUCUAUGGUUGAAAACUUAUAUACAUAGGCAUUUAGAAAGAUAUAGACAAAGAAAAGGUUGAGGAAGAAUUUAUCGUCCUUUCGAUGCUUGUGAUGAAGUUCAGCGCGACCUCCCCAAUGCUUAAGCAUUGUGCUUAGGCAUGGAAGAAGAAGAUGAUGCUUUUUGUGGUUGUUGAAAUCCUUGUUCUUAGCGUCCGGAGCUUGUCUUUAUGCUUGUUCACUUUUGUCGCCUUUAUUGUCCUUCAAUUUCUUCUGUUUUCAUGAAAGCACUUCACCAUGCCUUCAAAACAAUUCAAAUGCACAAACUACCCCAAGGUGACUGUCGGGAGUAGAAGCAAUCACCAACAAACAAACAACAUCCCUAAGACAUUAACUUAUGGCAUAGCUAAUCUAGUAAAAUAAAAAUAAAAACCUAAUGGGUGUAUGUGAGUGCAAGUGUGAAUGCAAAUCAUAGGUAGGAAGAUAAACAAAGACAAUGUUUGCACCAAGUUCUAAGCACCAUGCUUACAACUAGGUUGCUAAAAUUUUUCAUAGCCAUAAAAAAAUUGUUAAUCAAAGUCAAACACCAUGAUUAUCCUAAGAUCAAUAACUCUUUCCAGCACAAGAAAAAUAGAGCGCAUUGCAAAGCUUAAAAACCAACCAAUGCAAUAUGGUGAUGAUAUAAAAAGCUAGCAAGGUUUAUUAAACUGAAUGAUGAUGGUUUGCAACCAAGUCUAAACACCACAUUUACACAAGAUUGCAAAGGAAAAUGCCCUAGAAGCAUUAACAUAGAUAUGAAAACAUUCAUCAUAAAAUUUUUUAGGAGAAAGCCAAACUAACACAUGAAUGAUGGAACAAAUGCAAAUGCAAAUGCACAUGCAAAAGGGUUAGCAAAAGCAAAGGCUAGCAAGGUUGAAAAGACUAUCGAUGUUGUUUCACAAUUAGUUGAGUAAAAAAGAAUUGCUUAGAAUGACAAAGUAAGGCUAGCUACUUCAUAAGAAGUCAAGCAAUAUCAACAAGAAAAUCAUUCAUCGAAAAUCCCCAACAACCAAACUAACAAGGCUAAGGGUAGGUUUAUAGGUAUCCUAUAUUUUUGGCUUGGAAAAAGAAUUUUGAAGAGAGAAAUCAAGCAUAGAAAUUCUAACUAAGGAGGUUUUGAAAAACAUAAAGAAAAGAAAGGGCUUGUUUUUUUGAUGAAAAGCAAAAACCUAUGGUUUUAGGAUGGCUCUGGGUAAGGGUGUAGUCAGAACAGAGGCAAAAAUAACUCAGGUUGAUCUGAACGGUGCAACAAGCUGAUCAACACAACUUAAUCCAACCUCUGUUGGCUCUAGUUUUUGGCUGGAUUGAUAGGAAGGCUUAGGUGGAAAAAUAUUUUGAUAAAAACAAUAUGAAACUGCAAUGCAUCAUGAGGUGGAAGAACAAAAUGAUAUGACAUGAUGUGGAGGUGGUCUAAAACAAAAUAAAAAUUAGCCUAAAUUAACUAACCACAAGUUUAGAAUCAAAGGGUGGUGCCAUACUUCAUAUUUCUCUCUAAAAAGACACAAAGAAAAAGACUGUAAACACUAACAUCAUACAAAAAGGGUCUAUAAGUUUUCCAAGAUCAAGUAACAAAGUGCUCCCUCAAUAUUAUUUAAAGCAUACAACAUGUGGUUGCAAAAUUUGUUAGAGCAACGAUACAAUGUUACUUGAUGGUUUCGAUUAAAAAGCAUAAUAUAGACCAUCAUCUUAAUAAAGAAAGUAAAUAAAAAGAUGGGUUGCCUCCCGCAAAGUGCUUUAAUUAUAGUCAUAUAGCUAGACUCCUCACCUCAAUCAUGUUCAUGCGAAGCCAUGGUCCUUUGUGCAAGAAUCCAAAGUAUCCAUGCAGCUUGAUGUUCUCUUUUGUAAUCCUUCAUGGUUCUCUUCUAACACCUCUUUGUAUUGGAUGUAGCCUUCUUGUGUCUUCAAGUGCCAAUGCUCUAGUGAUUUUUAUUUUAUUCUAAGCUUUUGAAUUUGAUCAUGCACGCUUGAUGAAAGCAUUGCCCAAACUCCUCUUCAUUGUUCUCAUCACCUUGUUGCUGCCUCUUCUUCAUGGAUAUUCCCCUACAUCUAGAAUAGAACAUAUACUGAAAUAUAGCUCUAUUGAAAAGUUUAUGAAAUUACCUUUCCAAUGAGUGGUCAUUCAUCUAAAAUGAAGUUCAAAUGAGAGAGUUAUGCCCGUUUUAUUGUCAUUCAUCUAAAAUGGAAUUCAAAUGAGAGAGUUAUGCCCGUUUUAUUUUAGCACUGCGUGCUGUCCGGAACUGAUUUCAGAACGUGCAACGUUCGAUUAUUUGGCCAUAACUUCUUGUAGAAAUCUCCAAUUGCCUUGAUUCUUGAUUCGUUGGAACGUAGACUUCAUGGGCUUCUGAAUAUCCAAAAAUAUUGACGGCAACAAUAGCUUGUUGUGAAUUGAUCUGGAGAUGUUGAUGAUCUUGAUCUUGUGGUCUUUGGGGCAUUAUGUCUCAAAUCCUUUAACUUCAAGGUCAUCCCCAUUGCUGCACUAGCGAGUAGCAUGUCAGCAAUGAUGCAUCUUCUCCAUAAUUCUUGCUUUAUCAAAGGUGGCAGGAUCAGAGGAGGCUCUUGCGCUUUGUGUCGAUGAUCUGAGCAGUUUUCUUCCUUAAUUACAUCACUCAAUUAGAAGCUUUUUGAGCAUCCCACUGGAGAAGAUUGGUACUAUCAUGGUGCUUCUAAUCUUUUUGCCUCCAGUCUUGAUCAACUUCAAGUCAUCAUCUUUUGUGCAGAGAGACCCUCCAAUCAUUCGUCAACAUCAUCACCACCUUCUUCGUCAUUUGCUGCUGCCUCUUCUUCAUUGAAUUCCUCUACGUCAAGUAUAGAACAUGUACCAAAAUUCUACUCAAUUACAAAGUGCAUCAAAUUCCCUUUCCAACAAGUAGUCAUUCACCCAAAAUAGAUUUCGGAUGAAAGAGUUAUGCUAGUUUUACCGUGGCACUACGUUCUGUCCCGAGCUGAUUUCAGAACACGUAACAUUGAAAGAUUUUAUCAUCACUCCUUGUGCAGCUCUCCAAAAUUAGCAAUUCUUGAUGCGUUGCAAAGAAGACUUGAUGGAGCUUUUGAGUAUUCAAUUUUCCUUUGUUGUACAUAUCUGAUUGUAGGUAGAAAAUUGAUCACAACAGCAACAUUUGAGAUGUUGAUGAUCCAACUUAUAACUCUUUGGGCAUGACAUGACCUAUUACUUGAACAAAUAAAUCUCCAAAAAACAUUAGUCUUAAAAUAAUUAAUUGACACAACAUCAUAUUGUGUGGACUUGAUAGAAGAUGAUUGCCACUAGCAAAGUUAUUACCUACUGCUAAAGAGUCGAGUUUGAUGUUGUUAUCAUAUUAUCGGGGUGAAUCCAGACUUGAUGAAAGUCCAUAUUCGAUCAUCUGGCAUCAAGCAUUUACACUUGAUGUAGCACUGGCCCAAUCUUCUGAAAGGUAGUGAUAAAUUUGAUUGCUGGAGACUCGACGUUGACGAUCCGGGCUUCUAAUCAGACUCGAUUCGAAUCCCUACAACCGCUACACCACUACUCCAUUGGUUAUCAACCAAGCACAACUUGAUUGACCUCGCUGAGAAGGCUUUCUUUGCAAGCGAAACGAAGGACAUAAGAAAAAAAGUAUAAACACGCAAUCUGAUAUUGCAAAUAUGAAUGAAGUAAAGAAGGGUUCAAGCUCUCAAUUCGAAAGGACUAAUCCACACAGUCGAGGAGAAUAAGAAUAGGGGCCCUGGAUAACUGUAAAAGGACUUGUCGCCACAGUUACAACAAAUCAAUCUCAGUUUCUCGAAGAAAAACUAGAAAACAAAACCCAAACCCUAAUGUGGCGAUGGCUACUGAAUUUAUGAGGGUUAGGUCAUGGAGACCCCCUUGGACACGCCCCUAUGGGCUCCAACACGAUACACGGGCCAACGGCCCAAAAGAUAGUGGCGCAGCACCCUGACAGAUUCUGGAUGUCCACUUGUUUUGAUGAUUUCUGUUGACUCCAAUUGAAUUUUAAAGUGGGACUAGUGCCAUUGGAAGCUCCAUGAAAUUUUGUUUCCAUCCAUAUAAAGAAUGCCCAAAAUGGACACCGUAUGCGACCUAGGCAUCAUUUUUAGUACGUGCUGCUCUUGGACUCCGAGACAGGCUUGAACUUGAGUUGCUUUGGGCCUCCACCUCGGGGACUCAAACCGAAUUAGCCUCGGGCCUCCUUCUUGACUUGGACACCCUUGCUGACCUCCUUCCCCUCUAUACCAUGUGCCAAACAUGGUCGUAUGCAUGGGUGUCAUGUCCUCAUCAUCCUCCCCUUCUUGAUGAAAAGCCAUCCUCGGCGUCGAUUGUGCUUGAAACUGAUCCUGCACAACACAAAGGAGAACGGGGUUGCGAAGACAAAGGGAAUGAAAACAACUGUGAGGAGAGAUGUGACCAUGUUCCCAAUUGUGUAGUGUGUGAUCUUGCAGAAAACUUUCAGCAAGCGUGUAGGCUCCUUGAUUGAAAGACACACGAUGUUUGUCAAUACUAUCCUGCAAAAGAUUAGUACCAACAAAAGGCACAAUAGGAAUAGAUGAUUCAUUGCAAGAAAAUUCAGCACUAACAAGCAUAGGUAGCAGCCAGCAAUGCUCCCCUUCUUGGGAGACCAAAUUACUAGAGGAACAUGUGAAUAUAUUUGUAUGAUGGCUGCUCUCUAAUUGAUCACAAUCUUGCACAACAAAAGGAGAAUUCAUAUUGCUACGAAUAUAGACUCGAUGUAUCAUAUGCUGUCCUUUGUUAUCAUAUUUGCCAAUAACAUGAUAUGUGUGUUUGGCAAACCAAGGCAAUUCAGCAUAUUUAAAAAGUCUCUCUUCCGAACAAUCUAGAUUACACAAAUUAUCAAAUUCAAUAUAACCCAAAGUAUGCAAGGAAGACAACAGUUUUAGCUCAUAAUUGGCACUAGCAAUAUGCGUAACAUGUUUAUUUUCAGCACAAGUAUUUGGUUCCAAAACAUGUAACACUGAGGCAUUAUCAAAUAAUUCAUCUUUAUCACAAGGAACAUCAAGCACAUCAUCAUGUGACAAAGAUAAAUCAAGAGAUGGUUCCACUAACGAUUGCUCUAUAAUAGCAUGAUUGGUGGAAAAAUUUAGCACAUUAAAAUAAUUCUCACCUUCCGUGAGUGUAGCACCAUGGGCAUUACCUGUGUUUUCAUUCUCACCAGGAGUAAUAGGUGCACUGUGAAGUGAUGGUUCUGAAUUUGCACAUGAGGUUGGGAGCUACUCAUUUUCAUUUGCAUCAUCCUUGUCCUCUUGCUUUUGUUCAUAAUCCUGCAAAAGGUUAUGCAUAGCAAGAGAUACAACAAUGGAUUGAUCCUCUAAAUUAUGCACCUCAUCAUAUGAAUUCAAUGCAGGAGGUGGAUUAACAAAGGAUUCUCUCAUAAGAAUUUUCAUAUCAUUCCAAGUUUGAGGUUUAUCUGAAGGACGUAAAGAAUCCCACCAAGAUAAAGCAGAAUGUCACAAAACACUAGCUGCACUUUUUGCCUUCCUCCUUGGACAUAUGAAGCGAGUUGCAAAUAUGUUAUCUAUUGCAAUUUCCCACUCAAUGUACGCAUCAGCACCUAUACCAUCAUAUGUUGGUGGAUAUGAACAACCUAUCAUUGUUAGAAGAUAGCAAAAGACAACACCAAAGUAUUAUCCCUAUCAACUAGCAACUACUGGAUGGUGGUGAAAGUGGAAUGCAAUAUCACAAGCGGCUUACCACCAUCUUGCAAGUGUUCUUACCAAAGCCAAAUAGGGCGGUACAAUCAGUUGUCGAGCUUGAGGGUAACAGUUGCAAGGUGAACCUGUAUUGAUCAGAAGUAUGUAUGUGGACUAUAGGCAGGCUCAAUAUGGUAGCAAGGAAAAACAAUAAUUCAAUUCAAAAUUUGCAAGACUGAAAAGUAGUCCCAAGCUAGUCUAUGUCGCCGGCCUAAACUCGUCCUGGACUUAGUUCAAGCAAGCAACAAAACAACUCACCACAAGGACUCAAAGGAUGCAAGCACUUCUGAAUUUUUUUAUUCUUUUUUCCCUUCUUUCUUUCUUUCCUGUUUUUUUUGGUGCGGCUUUUUCUGCACUUUUUCAGCACCUCUUUGCCUUUUGCUUGUUUCUUUUUUAAUAUAACAGAAAGUGCCACAGAUGAUAUUACAAUUAAAAUACACAAGUUUGCACUUCAGCACAAAACGAAAGCCUUGUUGUCGACUAGCAACAAGGAAACCUAUGGCUCAGCUAUUUAUGGAAACAUGCAAGGACUAGCUGACACAACACAGAUCAAGCACAAAUAAACAGCAGGGAGCAAAAGAUUGUGACUCAGAUCGACAACAAUCUGGUGAAGUAUGUCUUGUGCACGGUGUCCUUGCCAAAAGAACUCGGACUCCAAAAUUGGAUAGCAAUAUUUUAGUCCAAUCGCUACAAAGAUCACUUAUCUUUCUUCCCUCACGUUGAUAAUACUUUCCUCUUUCUAACGCUAUAUACAACAAACAAGAACAACACUCGUUUGCCCAAAUACAAAUUGGCACCAAAAUUAUUAUGAGGAUAAAUCGACUAGGUGCCAAAACAAUUAAGCAAGACCUGAUACUAAAGACAAGAAUAAGACCUAGACACGACGAACACAAUGACACCGCGAGGGACCAAAAUUCAGAAAAGCAGAUCUGAAAAGAAAAAUUGUGGGGCACAAAUGGGGUUGUAGGACAGCGGAAUUGUUUUUUUGUAGGGUUUUUUGUGGACUAUAGGUAAUUGACAAAAACAAAUCUAAAGAGAUACAAAGGUGUAUACCACACGGGUAACCUGGAAUCCUGAUACCACUUGAUGUAGCACUGGUCCGAUCUUCCGAAAGGUAGUGAUAAAUUUGAUUGGUGGAGACUCAACGUUGAUGAUCCGGGCUUCUAAUUAGACAUGAUUCGAAUCCCUGCAACCGCUACACCGCUGCUCCGUUGGUUAUCAACUAAGCAUAACUUGAUUGACCUUGCCGAGAAGGCUUUCCCUGCAAGUAAAUUGAAGGACACAAGCAAGAAAGUAUAAACACGCAAUCUGAUAUUGCGAAUAUGAAUGAAGUAAAGAAGGGUUCAAUCUCUCAAUUCAAAAGGAGUAAUUGACAAAGUCAAGGAGAACAAGAACAUGGGCCCUGGAUCACUAUAAAAGGACUUGUCGCCACAGUUACAACGAAUCAAUCUUAGUUUCUCGAAGGAAAACUAGAACUAAACAAAAUUCAAACCCUAAUGUGGUGACGGAUACUGAAUUUAUAAGGGUUAGGUCAUGAACACCCCCCUGGACGCGCCCCUAUGGGCUCCAACAUGAUACACGGGCCAACGGCCCAAAAGACGGUGGCGCAGCACCCUGACAGAUUCUGGAUGUCCACUUGUUUUGACGAUUACUGUUGACUCUGAUCGAAUUUUAAGGUGGGACCAGUGCCAAUGGAAGUUGCAUGAUUUUAAGGUGGGACCAGUGCCAAUGGAAGCUGCAUGAAAUUAUGUUUCCAUCCAUAUAAAGAACGCCCAAAUUGGACACCGUAUGCGAUCUGGGCGUCAUUUUUAGUACGUGCUGCUCCUGGACUCCGAGAUGGGCUCGAACUUGAGUUGCUUUGGGCCUCCACCUCGGGGACUCGAACCGAAUUAGCCUUGGGCCUCCUCCUUGACUUGGACACCCUUGCUGGCCUCCUUCCCCUCUAUACCAUGUGCCAAACAUGGUUGUAUGCAUGGGUGUCAUGUCCUCAUCACUUCUUUCAAGGACGCAAACAAGAAAAACAUGAUAUAUGUAAUAAAAAAAUUAGGGUUAGUCUAAAAAAUUAGAUAGAUCGCCCCAGGGUUCGAGUUGCCGAUCCCCAGCAAUGGCGCCAAAAUAGUUUGUUGACGACAGUUAGUACGCCAAUUUGUGAACCGCAAGUGCAUGGAUCAUCGUAGCUUCUCCCUUAGAGUAUCCCAUCCAAGGUUUAUCAAUCCAUGGAUUAGCAGCGAACUGACUAGGAUUAUCUAUCUAGCUAAACGGAUCUAAUCCUAUCAUGAAGCAUGAAUUGCAUAUAAAGGUAAAUCCAAUCGAGAGAUAAGUAUUAUAGAUAGGGUAAAUAGAUCACACCCAUAUAUAUGAGGUAACACAAACAAAGAUAGCAUGAGCCUAUUGUCUUCUUGUUGUAUUCCAGCCAAAGUGGUAACCAACCUAUGUAGCACCUUGAUAAAGAGUCAUCUCUCAGAAAGGCAGCUCGAAAGCGGUCUACUUUCUUGUGGUCACCACUACGAGGUGUGUGUUAACACUUCCACUUUCCCAAAGCUUUACCUCAAAUGACUCCCACAAUACUCGCCAUCAGUCCUACUUAACAUUACGCAAUCAUUCGGCCUUUUCCCUCCCACAUGCUAUCACCACACGAAGGUAAUCACACUGACUUCCUACACACUACUAAGAUGUAUCCGCAAGGCAUAGACUAAUCACCACGAUUACAUCUAUUCCUACUAAGAACAUAUGCUAGCUUAACAUAUGAGAAUAAUCAUGCAUCAUAGUAGAUCAAAGUAAGCACAAGAUUAGAUUGAUAUCACCAUCGUGUGUACAUAAGCCUUAAUGAUCACAAGGCUCGGCUCCAGAACUCCACCAUGGCUUCACCGCGCAGGGACGACCAUGGUGGCUAGGGUCUAGCCUAAGCCAUCUCCUAGACAACCUUGAAGACUUGCAGCGACCCUCAACUUCGUCUGGUGUGUGUCCCUAUAUUCAUCAACUUCUGGUGCAUGGAUCAUGAAUUUUGGGCAUACUUAUAAUCUGGAGGACACGUGGCUGAAAUAGGAAGUCGAGGGGAGCAAGGAAAACCCCAAGCCGAUCGGCCUAGUGGGGUCCAGGCCGAUCGGCCUGACCCUUCCUUUUAUCUCCUCGCACCUAACUUCGUCGCCAAGUCCCCUCUGAUGUUCUGGUAGCUUAUUUUUAUAUGCAUGUGGGGUUGGCACAUCGAUAGCUUCGGGAUGAGAUUGAUCUUUGCUAACUUUCCAAAUCUCCACUUGAUUUUCUUUGAUUCCUCUUUGAUCCCGAAGAGAUACUUGCCAUAUCUUCACAAUCUUAGCCCUUAAGUAAUCUUGGAGGAGUGCUUGCCAAAAAUGAGCGUCGGAGGGGGCCAGAAGACCCUAGGCCGAUUGGCUUGGGCUUCACCAGGGCGAUCGGCCUGGGCUCUUUCUAACCCUGCUGGCCUUCAUCUCUGAUAGGUUCGUUGCUUGUUUAUGGAUUUAUCCAAAAAUAUGCUUUUAGGUCCAAUUUCCUGCAAAAACAGAAUUUCCUCCAAAAUAUAAUGCAUAUGCAACAAUGAGGUUAUUUUAGGUGUCAAGUGGCGGGUUAGUAUAAGAAUAUGUAUGAAAACACCACUUACAUGGCACUGAAAGUGUGUCAAUAAUGAGCAUCAAUAUAGGGGUGCCUCCCCUUUUUUUAGGGAGGCCAACCGACUUUUACAUAGCGAAUUUACCCCCACUCAACCACUACAUUCCUAGAAUAUGCUAUACAUUUUGGUAAAGAAAGAGUCCUAAUCCGAUUUGUACACUCCAACUGGAUCAUGCGAUUCACACCACCCUUCCCACGUCUUCAACAUGACUCUCCCCGCGAACACCUUCGCUGGAAGAAACCACGGCGGUCCUUGAGUUCAACUUCACGAUCCCAUUGACCUCACCUGUUGUCCAUUCCUGUAGACGUUGGGCACCUUUGCAUGGAAACCGAUAGCUCGAUUCGCCUGGAAACAUAGAAAAGAACAUUUGGCACCCUCGCAGCACAUUGCGAAGGUCAUGAUAUGGUGCGAAGGUGACAGAAGGUGUGAAGGUGAUGGCGUGAUGCGGAGGUUAAGUUUUUCCUAUUCCUAAGCGUGAGGGUGAAAUCCUUGAUCCAGAUCCCCAAUAGUAGCCCCUCGCGGGCGAGGUCCAACCCUUGAAAGAAAUCAUUUGAUCUUGAUCAAGGAUAAAAAACGUCUUCCCUCAUGUGCUGGAAAGGAAAUUGAUGUGAAGGUUACCGAAAAGUCGCUUUUGUCCCUGCUUUUUUAGCAUUGGGUGUGGUUAUGGAAGCGAUGCAUUUUGAUGCCUAUAAAAGGAGGGGGGGGGGGGAGGGGGGGGGGGUAACUUUUUGCUCAUUCUCGCACGCUGGGAGACCCUCACUACCUAUUUCUUAGCUACUUUGAGAUUUGUGUUUGCUAGAACACUUGUUCGUCUGGUUGUUGCGAAGGUAUACGCGCUGCUUCAACUUAUUUUAUUUAUUGUCCUAUUUUCUUGUUUUUUAUGGUUAAGGUUUGUUUUGUUUUGCUAGACUUUGAUGUGUUGAUUGUGGCUCACACAAAGCAAACUGCGAGGCUCAUGGAUCCCGAGGAGUUAGCUGCUGCCGGGGUAGAAGAUGCGGCGCAUGAUACAAAUGCAGUUGACGAUGAUUUGGGCGGAUCCCUUCACGCGCAUGAAGGUGAUGAUGUGUCUGGCGUGGAAUCAUUGGAUAGCAAAUUUGGUAAUUCUAGAAAUGAAGGUGAAGAAGAAGAAGAAGAUUUGGAGAAUGUCGAAGCUCAUGUCGAUGAGCUUGUUGCUGAAUGCCCCAAGACCUGUUUCUUUGAUUGUUCGUUGGUGACUCAAAGGGAUAUUGAUUUUUAUGUCGAGAAAGGCUACUUUGCUGCUGGCGAUUGUAGACCUCCGGACGAUGAGGAAAUUUCGAUUCCUAAGUGUCGGGCGUACUCCCCAGACCCACGAGUAGGCCUUAGACGGCCCACUAAGGGACGUACUCGGACAUGAUCAGAACAAGGAUGGGCGUAUCCUACUCGGACUAGUCUUGUAUGUUUAUGGAAAACUAUUCGGGCCGAUACCGAGUAGAACUCUAUAAUAGUACCCGGCUAGGACUCAGACUUGUAACCCUGCCCUCCCAUGUAUAUAAGGCCAGGCAGGGACCCCCCUCGAACAACAAUCCUCAGGACCAGAACAUACACCAAUACAAACCAACACACAGGACGUAGGGUAUUACACGAUCUAGUGGCCCGAACCUGUCUAAAUCGUGUUCCUUGCAUCACCAUUGAUUCCUUGACUCUCGACGACCCUUACCGCACAAAAGACCACCUAGGGUACACCUAGGAGGGUUGCCAGUCUAAAACACCGACAGCUGGCGCGCCAGGUAGGGGAACUCGUCAAGUUUCUCAACGCGAACUCAAUGGCGAAAGUCAUCAUCAGGCCCGUCUUCUUCAUCGAAGCCGGCACCACCUUCGUUUUCGGAUCCUGGCUUUGCGUCGCCAAAGGCUCGGGAUCGUUCCGGCGCCAGAUCGUUGACACUCAGGAGAAGAAACCUGAAGAAUUGACCAGAAAAAAAAUCAAGAUUUCAAAGUCAACAAGCUCAAGUUCGACUACGCGUCGAAUUCGACUUCGCCUCGGACUACUCCAACGUCUCGCUCAAGGCUCGGGCUCCACCAACCCCAGCACUCAGGUUUGGGCGAGGCGGAGCCUCCCUUCCAUAGGGUCAGGCUCCGCCGACCCCAGGCCUCGGGGUCGGGCGAGGCGGAGCUACCCUUCCAUAGGGUCGGGCUCCACUGACCCCAGGCCUCGGGGUCGGGCGAGGCGGAGCCUCCUUCGGGGUCGGGCGAGGUGGAGCUACCCUUCCACAGGGUCGGGCUCCGACGAUCCCAGGCCUCGGGGUCGGGCGAGGCGGAGUCUCGCUCAGGGGUCAGGCUCUCCUGACCCCAGGACUCGGGGUCGGACGAGGUGGAACUACUCCUCCGAAGGGUCCGGCGCUCCCGACCCCAGGACUCGGGGUCGGGCGAGGUGGACUUCCACUCAGGGUCGGGCGAGGCGGAGCUACUCCCUCAAAGGGUCGGGCUCAGCCGACCCCUGGACUCAGGGUUGGACUCGCUUCGGAUUCGGCGGCCCCAGUCAGCAUCCAAAUAGUCUCGACUUCAAGGCGGUUCCCGCACGGACUUCGCAAUGCGACAAAAGUCUACCAAGAUUUUCUUGCUCGAACCCGAGUUGAACUCGGGCAUGAUGAGGACGUUGACUCCGACUCAUCCUACUCACCAGAAAUACCAUUAUCUGGCCCAGCUCAAGGGUUGGUAAUAACUUCGACACCACAAGGCAGAUUCGUCCACUGGCCGGGAUUGCGACCAUCUUUCCUCGACCGUGACUAUGACUCGCGCCUCAUCGCUCAUAUAGACAACCUGCCAUAUCAAGAGGGCGUUCCACUCACGUCCAACCACGAAGAAAGCUAUACAGAGAUUGCUACAUCAAGUUCCGGAAGCUACUACCUGGACAGGGAGAUACUGGUUAUCACUCAGAAUAACAACCCGGGUACUAGCCAGAAUAGAACCCCCAGGCGACUAGCACAAGCCGACAACAUCUCUGACGAUGAGUCUACAGUCGACAAUGAAACUCCUGAACAGCGCAACCAACGAAGGGAGCGCAAUGCUACUCGAGCUGAGCGUCGACAAUCGAUGGCUACAAAUAUCCCUAUUACAAAUCUCGAACGGGCUUUUGACGCGGUCCAAGCUCAGGAGCACAACACUCCACUCACGGCUAUCACUUCAAUCAACAUUCUGACGACACUGAUGCCUCAAGAUAAGGAUAACGCAGCCACAGCUCAACUCGUACAGCGUGGCAACGGACUAAUCACACAACUCGCGGAGCAAGCUUACAAGCUACUCGACAAAGAAUCACCAAUCCCAUCCGUUCCUCGCAUUACAGACGGAAGCAGGAGGGCUGCAGAUAAAAAUGUCGUCCCACGAAACGAUGAUGUAGUCAACCAACCCCGGCAACACAGCAAAGGUCCAAGCAAGCAUAAAGCUCCUACUUAACAGAAGGAUGUGGGUGAAGCCAGCUGCACCAACUCGGUUAAAAGUGUUCGCCCUACUCGGAAGAACCGCGAGAUAUCCAACAUCAGCGAUCUACGAGAAAUCCUCAACAGUCGACGCGAACGGGAAGUCGACAGCUACAACCACUUUCCUGCUUUCACAAACCGGGUAAUGAAAACAAAAUUACCCGAAAAGUUUAAACCGACCGGCAUUACCAAGUACGAUGGCAAGCAAGAUCCAGUUCAAUGGCUACGCUGUUACUCACUAGCCGUCCAAGCAGCCGAGGGUAACAACGACACCAAAGUCAUUCAUUUCCCCAUAUGCAUGGAACCUGCACCAUUGACCUGGCUCGAGUCACUCAAACCCAAGUCCAUCGACUCUUGGGCAGACUUGACAAAGGCUUUUACCAACAAUUUCGCUGGCUCCAUGGCUAGACCAAGCAACAAGAUCGACUUACAACAGAUUAAGCAGAAAGAGGGCGAGACCCUGCGCGAUUAUCUGCGAUAGUUCUUUGAAAAGAAGGCUACCAUAGUUGACAUCUCCAAAGCAGACGUCAUCGAGUGUUUCCAAAACGGACUCUAUGAUCGACGGACAUACCAAGACUUCGGUCGCCGACAACCAGCUGAUGUCAAAGAACUCAAACUCAUGGUGCAACAGUGGGCUGAUGAAGAGGACAAAGAACGAGAAUGGUUCGGUUCCCACCGUAACCGCGGACGCGACAACACCCACAACAAUGACACAGAUAAAACUCGUCAUAACGAAGCUCAGAAUUCCUAUCUAGGUAAUCAUAAUCGCAAAAGGAAGCCCGACAACACUGUUGCUGCCAUGACCAGCUCCGGGAAAAAAGGACAGCGCAGAAACGACGACGGACCAACCUUCACGGAGCUACUCAAAAAGCAGUGCCCAUGGCACCCGACUAGCAAGCACUCCGCAUUGGACUGUUACAGCAUGCGCCAAGUCAUGCAAGACUUGCCAGCACCACCAACUCCUGAAGAGUACGCCAAAAAUAGAGACAAGGGUAAAAACAAAGCCCGCAACGAUGAAGAUGAGGACGACGAUUUCCAACCAGCCUCAAAAACCGUCAACGUCAUUUUUGGUGGCAUCCCUGGCACAGCAUCCAAGCGAGCCAACAAACUCGUACUCAGGGAGAUCAUGGCCAUCGAGCCGACUGACCCCACACCGCUAAAGUGGUCGGAAGUUCCAAUUUCUUUCAGCAGAAAGGAUCAAUGGACAAAAUUUUCAGAACCCGGCCGUUUUCCACUAGUCUUGGAUCCAGUCGUGGCAGGUGCAAAGUUAACCAAAGUACUCAUCGACGGCGGGAGCGGCCUCAACGUUAUCUUCGCCAAAACAUUAAGGAAAAUGUGCCUCGACGUCACGGACAUGCUUACUCCAAUGGAUUCACCUUUCUACGGCAUUGUGCCCGGAAACGCGGCCAUACCAUUGGGGCAAGUUGUCCUUCCCGUCACCUUCGGAACUAAGGAACAUUACCGCACCGAGUACAUCAGAUUCGAGGUCGCCGACUUUGAGACUUCUUAUCAUGCUAUACUCAGACGGCUAGCACUUGCCAAGUUUAUGGCCAUACCACACUAUGUCUACCUGGUACUCAAGAUGCCGGGCCCCAAAGGAGAGCUCACGCUACGAGGGGAUCUCCGGAGAUCCUACGAGUGCGACACCGAAGCUGUGGAAAUCGCUGUGACUACUCAAUCUCCUAGUCCCAUGCAGCAAGUCUUCACAGCUUCAAAGAAAUUCCAUCCAACUGAACUCGAGAUCCCGGAAAACAAGUCGGGCUCCACAAAGGUGAAACCUGCCAGUGAGCAAGACUUCAAAUCGAUCGACCUCCAGACUAGUGAUCCUUCCAAGACAGCCCUGAUCGGAACAGGGCUGGAUCCUAAAUAGGAAUUUGCGCUCGUCAGUUUCCUUCGGGCUAACCACGAUAUCUUCGCUUGGAAGCCGGCCGACAUGCCAGGUGUGCCCAAGGAACUGAUCGAGCAUUCCCUCAACAUCGAUCCCAAAGCUACUCCAAAAUGGCAACGACUACACCGGUUCACUCAGGACAGUUGAGACACCAUCAAAAAAGAGUUAGCCAAGCUACUCGCGGCAGGAUUCAUCAAGGAAGUCUUCCAUCCUGACUGGCUCGCCAAUCCUGUGCUUGUUCGUAAGAAAAACAACGAAUGGAGAAUGUGUGUUGACUACACCGACCUCAACAAACACUGCCCGAAAGAUCCUUUUGGGUUACCCAGGAUCGAUCAAGUGGUCGACUCCACCGCUGGGUGCGCCUUGCUAUGCUUCCUCGAUUGCUACUUCGGCUAUCAUCAGAUAAGCCUCAAAGAGGAAGAUCAAGCCAAAACAGCGUUCAUCACGCCCUUUGGAGCUUUCUGCUACAAAACAAUGUCCUUCGGACUCAAGAACGCAGGAGCAACUUACCAAAGGGCCAUACAGAUGUGCUUUGAAAAACAACUUCAUCGCAAUGUCGAAGCUUAUGUUGACGACGUCGUCGUCAAAACAAGACACCGGGAGGAACUCAUCGCCGACUUGGAGGAAACUUUCUCCAGUCUCCGCGCUUUCCGAUGGAAACUCAAUCCUACUAAGUGCGUCUUCGGAGUACCUUGCGGCAAACUACUCAGGUUCAUCAUUAGCCAUCGCGGCAUUGAGGCCAACCCUGAGAAGAUAUCUGCCAUCACAAACAUGCAGGCACCAGCCAGCAUUAAAGAUGUGCAGAAACUCACCGGCUGCAUUGCCACUCUCAACCGGUUCAUCUCGAGACUUGGAGAACGGGGCCUACCCUUCUUCAAGCUUCUCAAAUGCCAGGACAAGUUCAAAUGGACGGAAGAGGCAGAUCAGGCUUUCACACAACUCAAAGACUUUCUAUCAAAGCCUCCUGUACUCACCGCUCCCUCGCCGAUCGAAGACUUGCUCCUAUACAUCUCCGCUACUACUCAUGUCGUCAGUACGGCAAUAGUAGUCGAAAGGUCUGAACCGGGCCACGCUAACAAGGUCCAACGACCUGUCUACUUUGUCAGUGAAGUACUCUCGGACUCCAAAACUCGGUCUUCACCGAUACAAAAGCUAUUAUAUGCUAUUCUGCUCACCUCCUGGAAGCUGCGCUAUUACUUCCAAGAGCACAACAUCACAGUCAUCUCCGACUUCCCGCUUGGCGAAAUUCUCCAUAACAGAGAUGCCACGGGUAGAAUCUCCAAAUGGGCAGUCGAACUCGGAGCUCUUACUUUGAGCUUCAAGCCAAGGACUGCCAUCAAGUCUCAGGCUUUGGUCGACUUCAUAGUUGAGUGGACCGAAAAUCAAGUUCCUACUCCAGUCGAACGACCAGAGCAUUGGGUAAUGUACUUCGACGGAUCCCUCAAACUUGAAGGGGCCGACGCAGGCGUCUUACUCAUCUCCCCCAAGGGAGACCAACUCAAGUACGUGCUGCAGAUAUUCUGGGAAGCAUCCAAUAACGAAGCCGAGUACGAAGCACUGCUACACGGCCUUCGCCUUGCAAUCUCCCUCGGCAUCACAAGACUGCUGGUGUACGGCGACUCCCUAGUCGUCAUAAACUAGGUCAAUGACGAGUGGGACCGAAACAAGGACAACAUGGACGCUUACUGCAAAGAAGUCCGUAAACUGGAAAACAAAUUCUCCGGCUUGGAGUUCCAUCACAUCGUCCGCGACAACAACGUUGCCGCCGACGUCUUAUCCAAAAUGGGCUCAACUCGUGCAGAAGUUCCAGCAGGAAUUUUCGUACACGAACUACGCAAGCCAUCCAUACCUGAACAUGUCACACCGCCAGUAGUCCCGACUACUGACACCUCUCAAGAGAUCAUGAUGAUAGAAGUCGACUGGAGGACACCCUUCAUCGACUACAUCAAAGAUCACCAGCUACCAUCCGACAAGAAUAAAGCUGAGCAAAUCUCCCGACGAGUAAAGAAUUACGUUCUAGUCGAAGACAAGCUCUACAGGAAAGGUGCAUCAUCUGGAGUACUCAUGAAGUGCGUCACCAGAGAAGAUGGCCAAGAAAUCCUAGAAGAGAUUCACAGAGGGAUCUGCGGCAACCACGCCUCUUCGAGGACACUAGUCGGCAAGGCUUUCAGAGCAGGGUUCUACUGGCCAAUGACUCUGGCCGAUGCCAAGCAACUAGUCCAGAAGUGCAAAGGUUGUCAAUUUUUCACAAAACAGCAACAUGUGCCGGCUUACAAGCUAGUCACAAUACCUCCAACAUGGCCAUUUGCCUGCUGGGGGCUCGACAUGAUUGGCCCAUUACCAACUGCGCCAGGAGGAUUCAACAGAGUACUCGUGGCAAUUGACAAGUUCACCAAGUGGAUCGAGGUCAAACCAGUCACUUGCCCAAAGGCAGACCGAGUUCUCGACUUCUUGGAUGAAAUCGUACAUCGCUAUGGUUUUCCCAACAGGAUUAUCACAGAUCUCGGGUCAAACUUCAACAAUCAUGACUUCUGGGAAUAUUGCGAGAACAGCGGCAUCGACGUCCGCUAUGUCUCGGUUGCUCAUCCGCGAGCCAACGGUCAAGUCGAGCGUGCUAAUGGCAUGAUACUCGAUGCUCUGAAGAAACGACUACAUGACGUCAGCAAUACCAAAGGCGGCCGAUGGCUCAAAGAGUUACCCAAUGCCUUGUCGGGCCUACGUACCCAACCGUGCAAGACUACAGGACUAUCACCUUAUUUUCUGGUAUAUGGCUCAGAAGCCAUACUACCCGCCGACAUCAUGUGGCAAUCACCAUCCGUUGAACAAUACGACGAAGAGCUUGCAAUAGAAACGCGACGAACGGAUAUCGACAGUUUGGAAGAAACAAGAUGCGCAGCACUAGUGCAAUCUGCUAGAUACCUUGACGGGUUAAGGCGUUAUCACGACCGCAACGUCAAGGAAAGAUAUUUUAACUCGGGCGAUAUAGUCCUUAAGCAUAUUCAAGACACGUCAGGAUUACAUAAACUCAAUUCACCGUGGGAAGGUCCUUACAUCGUAUCAAAGGUUACAGGACUCGGAUCUUACAGACUCCAAGAGCUCUCAGGAGAACAGGUGCCAAACUCCUGGAAUAUAGAACACCUUUGUCGCUAUUACCCAUAGCAGCACUCGAGUACUCACUUCAAGGCAACUACUCGGGACGACUACUCGACUACCGACUUCAAGGGGUGUUCGCUUCAACGCGCUAUCAAUACAACAAGGAUCCUUGCCCUGAUACAAACUCUUCAUAUCAAUCUUUAUUGAAACAAGAGUACAUCAAGUUACAUACGAGUACAAAGACUCGGCUUAACAAAGACUACAAGCAACUGCCUACUGGCGGGCUGCAUUUAAGCCUCAGGAUUUUACUAUAUCACAAGGCCACUCAGGUCUGCCGACCGCAGGAAAGGCCCACACGCAAGGAAGCUGCGCAAAACGCAGCCGCGCCCAGGUAUCCUACCCAAGGCACCGCCAGGUACUCCAUCACCGCCAUCGCCUGGACAGCAGCGACGUCAAAUCCGGCAAGACGCGCCUAGAGGGAACCAAGGCUGCUCUUUUGCUAGCCUUGCGAAGCCCAUCUACUCUACGGCCGCACCUCCACCAUCUUUCAGAGCGGGAUGAAGACCGCGGCACUCAUCACCCAUCACUCGCUGCGAGUUCCAGCGCGUACUCCGCUGGAUCAGUAGCUGCAAGAUGAGGCACGCGACGAACCCUCCUACGAGGAGUCUUCUAGCAUCGCGGCUAUCCCUACGAGCGCAAGAGUCUGUGGAGGCAAGGUGGCCUUAAUCUACGAGGAAUCUUCUAGAACCGGUGCACUCUUUGAUGGCUCUCUAGAGUCAAACAGAAGCAAACGCAGGCAAUCCAUUGGUACUCAGAAGCUGAGUUGGCUCGCCCACCAGAUGGCCCUAUUUAUAGCUGAAAGCUCCAACUACCACCGGCCCAAGAGUUACUGUGCACCUGUGAUCAAUAAGCUUGACAACUCAUGACUCUGCCCAUGUGACUACUCUCAUGCCGCAACGGACAAGGGAGCACAGUACACCCGUGCAUCCACUAAGGACAAAGGAGCACAGUACACCCGUACAUCAACAAAGGACAGCCGAGUACAGUACACCCGUGUCCCUCAGAAGACGAGUACUCAAACAGCAUUACGACUACUCGACACUCGGGACUACUACAAGCCAAGCUUAGCCUACAUGACGGGGGCUUCGACUACUCCGACCCUAGGACUCGGGGUCGGGCGAGGCGGAGUUCCACCCUCGAAGGGUCGGGAGCCUCCAACCCCAGGACUCGGGGUCGGGCGAGGCGGAGUUCCACCCUCGAAGGGUCGAGCGCCCCCGACCCCAGGACUCGGGGUUGGGCGAGGCGGAGUUCCACCCUCGAAGGGUUGGGAGCCUCCAACCCCAGGACUCGGGGUCGGGCGAGGCGGAGUUCCACCCUCGAAGGGUCGAGCGCCCCCGACCCCAAGACUCGGGGUUGGGCGAGGCGGAGUUCCACCCUCGAAGGGUCGGGUGCAUCCGACCCCAGGACUCGGGGUCGGGCAAGGCGGAGCUACUCCCUCAAAGGGUCGGGCACACCAGAGUUGCAAUACUUCGGGAUUCAACAGCAUUUUUCGCAAGACAACGAACUCCAAAAUCCAAAAUCUUGAUAUUCAAAAGUAUCAACAUACUCGGUACAAGAACACGAGUACACACCAAAAGCUCAAAGUUCUUCUAAGGAGACGAACUCCGACAUCUUGGCUGCAAUGGGCUCCACUUCCUCGAGGUACUGCGCAUAUGCUUCCUCUGUGCAGUUGCGAGCCACGCCAUCACCAGCUGCCGCCAAGUCUGCCCUCGGGUAGUAGGACUUCACAACCGCAAGCACCUGUUUGCAAACAGUCUUGCAAAGUCCCUCUACUUUGCUCGGGGCAGCUCUUAGUCGCUCUACUAGCGAUUGCGGUCCUGCGCCUUCCUCCACGGGGGCUAUGGCAUUCACCAAAUCUUCGGCCGCUCUAGACAGCUCUUGGAGUUCGCCCCGAAGUCUUCCCAAGGUCUGGGCAUGAUCUCUACAUGCCACCAUGGCCAUGGCAAGCAUCACGCCAUUCUGCAUCUUUCGGUCCCGCUGAUGCUCGCACGCAGCUUGUGCUUCAGUGAGCGCGGCCCGAAGAUGUUCGGCUUCGUCUGCCACUCGGUCAUAAGCAUUCCUCCAAUCAAUAACUUGGUUUCUUGCAGACGCCUCCUGUUUCUUGAGCUCUACAAAGCAAAAGAACUCAGGCCACAGCCAACUACAGUUGGACACACCCAGAGUAGUCGCAAUGCUUACCUUGAUACUUCUUGUUCAAGGAUUUAUAGCGGCUCUCCAAUUUCUCCUGCAGAACGACAUGAUCCGCGCGUUCCACGGCAAAGGAUUUUGCCCCGACUUCAUCAACCCGAAGCGCUGCUCUCAGUCAGGCACAUUCCUGCUCCAGCUGAUGGUUUCUUUCCUGAAAGGAUCCGAGUACACUAUGGUGAGUUUCACGCUUCACGACUACUCGGGUCAUGCAGUAACAUCAGCAAUAUCUACCUGGACGCCCCGGAACACAUCCAUAGCCCUCUGGAGCUCCAAGUCAGAAGGCGGGCUGAGUACUGGCCUUUGGGUACUCUCCACAAGACGAGGAAUCGCACCCAGCGAAGCACCUACAACAUUCACCAUAUCAGCUACCGACUAUGAUUAUGAUAACAAACUAACAGGCGCUUACCUGGAGCAGUCGUCUGUCUUGAUUUCUCAACAACAGCCAGCGCUCUGCCAGAGGAUGAUGAUAGGCCGGCACUCCCCGAGCCUGAUGCAGCAGCGGGUUCCUCCACUGAGCGAACCACGUCUUAAAGCAUCGACAUAGUAGCUCCAAGACGGCCAUCAUCAACCUCGGGUAUUUCUUCAACAAUGAAGUCCUCCAGCGGAAUAGAUGUUGUAGUCAAAGAUUUCGGCACUAUCCCUGUCUCUACAGGAAUAGUUUCCUCUGCAUCUCUGCACCACAAAAGUGUUACUACAUGAGUUCAAGACAUUUCAACGUCAUUCAAAAAAGGAAAAGAAGACUCACCGGGUUGAACGUGGCGGCAGUCGCACACGCUUCCUCUCGGCGACAAGCGGCCGAGUAUUCGAAGUCGCGGGAACAGCCGCCGGCACCGUCUUCUCACCAAGACCUGCAAAAUCAAAGUCAAGACCAACAGUACUAUUCAAUUAAAAACAAUCGGAAGAGACAACGCUUACCACUGGCGAUCACAUUGGACAGCAAGGUGCCAGUUGCAAGUACUGGUGACACCUCCUUCGUUACUCUAGCAGGCAGCCCCAGAAUCGCCUGGUCGGCAAUGGGCGGCAUGGCAGCCGGAGGAGUUGACGCAGUUAACUCGGGGGCUACCACAAUUUCUAUUGAUGGUACCCUCUUUGGCACCGUGUCAACAACUGCAUCACCGACUUCAGGGUCGGACGCGGCUAUUUCCUCAGAGACAGCCUCAUCUACAGCCUUCGCGAACCAAGACAAGAUUCACCACAUCAAUAACGCAUUUCAAGGUCCUUAGUACCAAACAAGUUAUCGACUACAUACCUUGGUACCCCGAGACUUUUCAGUGGUUGAAGCAGACUUAGCCGCAGCCAUCUUGCGGAUUACUUUGCGUCUCUUGACAGGAGGAGAAGGCUCGUCCUCCGACUCCUCGACGACGGCUUCUGACUCUUCUUCCGACUGUGCCACAUAGCCGUCAAGAACUCGAGACUUCUAAACAACAAAUCGGUGUCAGCAACAAGAAUCCCAAGUCAAAGAAGAACAAGUCAGGAGGAAAAACUUACCACUUCUGGCUCAUACCAGGAUUCAUACUGACGAAGGGCUGCAGGGAUUACUGGUACUCCCUGAUAGUUCCUAAAAAACUUAGCCAGCAGCGCCUCCACGUCAUCGUCAGAUAUGUCCUCAGACAUACGCGAUGGAUCCUUCAGACCUCUGUACUCACUUCCCGGGUGAGCGCGUUUUUGAAGUGGAUGGACCCUUCUCUUCAGGAAGCUGGCUGCCAUGUUGAUCCCAGUCAGACCGAGUACCUUCAACUCGGUGAUCUGCUGCAUCUGGAGAUCAAGCUCGGGGGUGUCCUCGGGCUCACUUAUCCAAUUUUCCGCAUACUUGGGCAUGUGACCAGUCACCACAGGCAAGCGAGGAUCAUGGUUCCCGAUGUAGAACCUCCUUUUCUUCUAAUCCCCAUGGGAGUCGGUCAGAUUAUACUCAAUAUAUGCAUUCGAGUUCCUGAGUUGGAACCCGGCACCUCCAAAGACUUCCGUCCGCUGGGCACUCGGCUGAGGCUUGCAACGGAAAAGUUUCCUAAAUAGCUCGAGACUUGGAGGUACUCCCAGGAAAACUUCGCACAGAUGUACAAAUAUAGCCAUGUGCAGUACUCCAUUGGGAUUCAAGUGGACGAGCUGAAGAUUGUAGUACUCGAGAAUACCUCUGAAGAAGUUGGAGGUGGGCACGGCCAGUCCCCUCUCCAUGAAAUGAGCAAGCAUCAUCGUCUCGGUAGGAUGUUCCUCAAACUGCCACGCAUUGGGGAACACGAGGCGCCACUGCACGAUUUCCUUCGGCUGGAGGAGCUUGGCAUCAACUAGCGCUUGGACUGCUUCCUCCUUCAUCACUGAGUGUUGCCAAGUUGCCCCAGGUGGCGGCGGAGCUGUCUGGUUUGUCGGCCCCACCUUCGGCGCCUGCAGCACCAACUCCUUCCCCUUCUUGGAUCUGACCUUGCCCAUCGCCGGAGCCUUGCCUUGGAUCUUCUCGGGUUUCUUGCCCAUCUUCUUGGAGCGCAUCCGAUGGACUCAACCUCAAGUUAAGGAAGAGACUUCCUCUCGGAUCUAAGCGGCAAUGGCGGAGGCAGCGGCACUGGCGGCGGCGAAAAAGCGAGCGAAGGCGCAGAGGAGGAGGAAGAACAGAUCUAAUGCCCGUAUGGCGUCACAGCAACCGAAAAGGGCCUUUCCAGAUUUAUCUCUGCCGGCUCCGGAUUCAACGCGUCAGUUACGCAACGGACAGAUUAAAUCGCGUAUUAAUCGCAAUAAACACCCAACGGCUACUGCAUUCAACAGAUUGAUGACCACUUCAACGACAGGAAUCGCCUAAGUGCUCGGGGGCUGUGGGUACCGUACCCGUUGGUCAGUUUUAUCUUUUUCAAGAUCUCCGAGGGUAAAAUGGGCAAAAGCUGGUUUGACCCUAAGCCUAAUUCUUCGACUCAACCUAAGGCUCGGGGGCUACUCCAUAUGGAGUGCGAUUGACAUCGCACUACCAUAUAAAAAUUACUCGGGAUGGAGACAACUCGAAGCUGCAGAAAGAGUACCUUCCAGCCACGCGACAGUACUCGAGCACUUCAGUCUACAAAAACUACUCGGGUAGUGCCUGCAGUGCCCAAGACUAUGGCGCACGACUACAAAGUACUCGGGGGCUUGUCGGGCGUACUCCCCAGACCCACGAGUAGGCCUUAGACGGCCCACUAAGGGACGUACUCGGAUAUGAUCAGAACAAGGAUGGGCGUAUCCUACUCGGACUAGUCUUGUAUGUUUAUGGAAAACUACUCGGGCCGAUACCGAGUAGAACUCUGUAAUAGUACCCGGCUAGGACUCAGACUUGUAACCCUGCCCUCCCGUGUAUAUAAGGCCGGGCAGGGACCCCCCUCGAACAACAAUCCUCAGGACCAGAACAUACAUCAAUACAAACCAGCACACAGGACGUAGGGUAUUACGCGAUCUAGCAGCCCGAACCUGUCUAAAUCGUGUUCCUUGCGUCACCAUUGAUUCCUUGAUUCUCGACGACCCUUACCGCACAAAAGACCACCUAGGGUACCCCUAGGCGGGUUGCCGGUCUAAAACACCAACACUAAGACCAAGGAGACAAUAGUUUUCCAUGAUUUCUUUGUCGCUGGAUUGACAUUUCCUUUUGAGAAGGUUGUUUCAGAUAUCCUGAAGGCUUUCAAGCUUCGGUUGCACUAGCUGACUCCCAAUUCCAUUCCCCAUCUAUUGAAAUACAUAUGGAGUUGUCAUUUUUUUGGAGGUGAGGUUGAUGUUGAUUAUUUUUACCAUCAUUUUGAGUUGCACCAUCAAAAGAAAUGAUUUUUAGUUGGCAAAGAGGAGAUGGAGGCUCAAUGUGGAUGCUGCACAUUCCGAACUCACCAGAUUUGUGGAAGUUUAAUUCCCAUUGCUCUAACUCCUACUCAGAAGAAUCGGUGGGCUGACAAAUGGGAUUAUUACUAGUUCGAUUCCUGUUGUUACCGAUUAGAACAACGAAGGUAAACCUAUAUUUGAGUAUCCACUUGCUAGCAAGGUUGAGGACAUAGAUGCGGAUUAUUGUCCUCCAUUCUCUAAAAAGAGUUGGAAUUCUUCUGGCAGCAAUACUUACUAUCUUGCUAGCCAAAUCAUCACCACCCGAGAUGCCGUUGAAGAAUUUUUGGCUAUGGAAAUCUAGCCCUCAUGUCAUGGUUGGAGUCCCAAAAGUUUCUAUGAUAAUAAAGUUCCCAACAUGACCCUAUCUAUCAAGUUUCCUAAGUUUGGGGUUAAGAAACUUGAAGGGAUGACUGAUGAACAAAUAUUUGAAGAAAUUGAAAGGAAGGCAGUCUUGCUGAUUGGCAAUUAUUUGCAUAAAGAGCAUGAACAGGCUUUGAAAACUUUGAGGCACGGUGGCAGGAUUAACCAUGUUUUCAAUAAGAUGGGUGUUAGUUACGGUCCUCGUGCUCGCCCUAGUACUAUUAGCAAGAAAAUGAUUCCACCUAGGAAUAUUAGUUCUGAAGCUCCUGGUGCUAAAUCAAAAUCAACAAAGAAGAAGAAAACUUCCAAAAAAUUGCAUGACAUUCCAAAACCACCCGCAUUAAAGACCUGCAGCUCUUCCACUAUCUCCAGAUCCACGAAGGUAAAUAUACCACGCUGAAGAAAAGAAAACGUGAAUCUGAACUCGCCGUAGUGCCCAAACAACACAAGAUUGUGCCUAAAUUAUCGAUUGUUGCUAAAGAAUCACCCUCGCCUAAAGUUGCAGAAUCAUCCAGUGCUAAGACUGAUAAGCGAGAAACUUCUCAUAUAGAAAUUGAUUCCCAACAACGCCGAGCUCAAGAAUACUACCAGCGCAUGGAAGAAAAUAACUUUUCUCUUGAACAUUGAGAUGCCUAGAGCCUCUACUGAUGUUCAUGCCAGUAUGGUGGAUGUUUUAGAUGAAAAUGAUAGCUUGAUAUACUUGGAUGAUGAUGUUGCUAAAAUGGACAAAGGCAUUAUUGAGUCUAGUCGAGCUUUGAUGCCUGAGUCAGGUGGGGCUAAGCCUGUUGUUGAUUCUUUGGAGAAACUUCCAUUACCGUUAGCUCUGAUCGCUGCAGACCGAGUAAGCGAAAAUGAUGGAAUGUCUCCCCCACGAGAAGAAAACCAUGAAGUAGCUGCUAUGGCGAAAGAAUUUUCCUCUGCAACCUGUGAUGAAGGCUUUUCUUUCCCUAAGGUUCACGAAAUCUCCCCCUCUGCCAAGGAAAAAGGCAUUUUGUCUCCCUCUAGAGGUGAAUUAUUUUCAAACCACCCCUCAUUUUUUAUCAUGACUUACUUUGUUUCAUAUUUUAUAGUUUUGUUGACUUAAAAUGUGUGUAGAUGGUGACACAGCUAGUCAGACUUUAUUUUCAAUGAGUUGCCUUAGCUCCGAUGAGCUGAAAUUGAUUGGAGAUAUAAGGGCGUUUGAGGGAGACUCAAAUGAUCAGCAUACUUUCAAAGGGAUUCUCGAGGUGGAUUCUGGUGAGACUAAUAAUGGCAUCUGACCUUAUCAACUUUUCAAUCCUAAAGGUUAAAAAGCUUUUGAUGCACACUAUUAUUAACUCAGAACCUUGCUUGAUUAUGAUUUGACAUGAAUUUUUCUUUGUUACCCAUAAAAUUUGAAGCUAGCAUUCAAGGCUUCAGUGGUUUUUGGGUAUUUUACGAUGCGAAUAAAUCCGCAAGCGCAUGAACACCAUCGUAGCUUUCACCUCAGAGUACUCCAAGGGUAUUUAAUCCAAGGGAACAUGUGUGCACUAACUUUUAUUCAAGUCAAUCCAAGGACACACCAAGAUAGGUAGCGAGGGUAGAGAGGAUUCCUAAUCAUAGCACUAUAGAUGAGUUAAAGGUCGAUCUCUCGGGUUAGAAUACUUGCUUUGAGCACCGACUUACCCUAAAUGAGUCAGGUGCCUCCGGCAAUCAAGUCUACACUAUAUCCGAACGUGGAGGAUUAAGAAGGACCAAUAGGGCUGUCACCACAUACGGCCUACCUCUAUGGCCCGUGGGAUAUAAGGCAAAUGGAGGAUAACCCUUAGCCUAGACACCACGUCUAUGCUAUUGAUUACUACUGCAGUCUAAGUACGUCUAUGCACCCAUACCAUACUACAACACUCUGUAUAAAUAUAGAGCGACAAACCCGUGAGUAAGAGAACUGAUCUCACUUAUAUAUAAGUACUACUAGUGUAUACCGUAUCAAGGUCUCAAGGCAAACAUGAGAGCAUACAAGCUAAAACUAUGAUAGCAAGGGUAUAUGACUAGCAUACGAGCAUAUAAACCAAGCAUAUAAACAUAGCAAGGAUAAUAUACUACUCAUGCAUAUAAGAACCAAGUAUAACACUAUAGGAAGAAAUCACGAAUACGAACUUCCUUUACUCAAAGGAAGACAACAUCCAUAGAGGUACAAGCUAGGAGGAGAGUGCCGAUACCCCGGCACUCCUCCCUAACUACCCCUCACUCUCUCCCUACUCUAAGCACAAGCUAGGCAAGGCUUUGCCUUUGGAGUGGAGCUCUAACUCUCUUGGAUGGUGUUGUAUCCUUAAAUGAGGCCCCCUCUACUAUUUAUAGAGUGGAGGUGCGUUGGGAGAGUGGAGAUGCUCCAAGCAUCUCAAAGGAAUCUUAAGGGAAUAUUCUCCUCCAACUCUUCUCCUUGUGUCACCUAGCAGGAUCCAAGGCUUUGAGGCGGUAACUCGUGGUGAAACGGUCAUAAUUGCCUUUAGAAAGUCACCAGGAGUCGCCAUGUGGAAGAUGGGCAUGAGGGGUGCCACCACUAGUUCGGUCGAACUAGGGCACCACCUUUCCUGUAGGAUGCUGCCUGGUGGGCCCUCGAGUCGGUGUAGGGUGCAUGUGCCAAAUUAAGGCGGUUUACCCCCUGAUGUGGGCCCAUGGAUCCGUGUGCUCUUCCCUAAUUGGCUAGAGUUGUGUUUCUUUUCCUCUUGGGUGUGUUUCCUCCUCCUUUCUAAGGAUAAGUUACCUGCAUACAAAUAUUAACCAACACUUGUGGAAAUGGUUAGUAAUAAACCCCUACCACUAGUUUGAUGUUGAUCUUUUCGAUAUUUAUGGAGGAGUUGACGGCCUAGAAUUGAUACUUAAGAGCCGUCAACAGUGGUCUUGAACUUUGCACCUUGAUGACAACGUAUGCAUGAAAGGUGUCAUUGCUGGGAAACUCGGUUGCCAUAGAGUUUUUGACAAAGUAGAAGACCUUCGUAUUGAGAAUGAAGAUCUUAAAUCCAAGGUUCAGAAGCUUAAAGAUCAUCGAGCCCAAAUGGAAACUAACGACAAGGAUCUUUCUGCUGAGGUUAAGACUUUGGCGAAUCGAAAUCAAUAGCAAGAAGAAGCUCAAAUAAAUCUUCACGCCACUGUUGAGAAAGAUGCGGAAUGCUAUGAACAAAUUCGCAAGGAACUUGAGACAACUGAGAUGAAUGCAACCGCACAAGCCAAGACUUGGUUGCUAAAUAAAAGAUUAUUUCUGAGCUAAGGCAAGUUAACCUUUCUUAGGAGAAAGUUUUGGAGGAGAAUGAGUCUAAGAUCUGGCAGUGUGGUUUGCAUGUCAAUCACCAAUAUCACGACACUUUAAAUCAAUUUGGUACGAAACCACAACAUUUCCCCGAAAGAAGUGAUUCUGGCAAAUUCUUUUAGUGGCUGCAAGAUGAAUUGAAAUUCUUUCCUAGAAUUUGUCAAAGGUUGGAGAUUAUGGUGCAGUUGUGAGCACCAGAUCCUUGCUUCAAAUGCUGGAGUACAAAGGUUGCGAACAUUUCAAGAGGCUAGGUUCUCGUGGCUACAAAUUCCCUACUUAUUCAGAUAUUCCAACCCCUAGCCGGAAUGUAGAUGCCAUGUCUAAACUUUUUGUCAAGGAGUUUUGGAUUAAAAGUGGUCACGAGGGUGCUCGUAAAACGGCUGCUGAUCGCCUUGCGAAGGUGUUUUUCUAUCUUUAGUCUUUCUCAUAAUCUUGAAAAUGAUGGAAAUACAUUUUGAUGCUAUGAGGUUAUUUCCUCAUAGUUUUAUCUUGGCCAGGAAAAACAAACAAUGGAGACUCGUAGGCUUCAAGCUAUUCAUGUGAUUUAGCUACUCUAGGCCCGUAUGCUCCUCCUCGCCAACCAUUAAUUCAAGAGCCCAGCCAACAAUCGGUUGCUGCGGAGGUGGUGCCCUCAGCGUCUACUACUCCUGAAUUUAUGAAGCCGACAACAUCACGUGCUCCCAAUGUGCCUCAGGGUUCUCAGCUCCAAGAUCCGUUAAUACAUGAUGCUCGACCUCAAGCUCUGCCCAACUGAGGAGGAACCGAAGGUGUAAAGCUUGCUUCUAAUUGAAAACCUAGUUGCUGGAUGAAAAGAUUCGAACUUAUUUUGUUGUAAAAAUUAACUAUGGAGCAAGUUCAAUGUGAUGGAACUGUGUGUGAUGUAGUUCCCAAAACAUUCUACCAAGAAGGCUUAUGCAUCAUCGGCUAUUCUUGGACGGUUUAUCAUGCUAAGUAUCCAGAUAAAUCCUUUGAAGAUUUUUGGUAUUUUUGUUGUUCUUAUUAUCCAUCACGUAGCUAUGCACUUUGUCAUUUGCUCGAUUCUAGUGGUGGUGAUCGGGUUAGUAGAUCCCAGGCUGCUGUUGAUGCUCAUUAUUGACACAGUUUUACCCCUGUUUAUGUUCAAUAUUGGCAUAGAAAUGAUAUCAUAACUAUUGAUCAUACUCAAUAAUCUAGACAUUUUCGCAUAUGUAUUGUAUUUUGGAGGACAUUCUAUUUUCGCCGGAAAUUGGACUUAAUUGGAGCAUAAUUGGAUGAGGCUCAGGACAAACAAUGAACCAGAUGAAGAUGAAGGCCAAUAGGCUAAGAAAGAGCCUGGGCCGAUCGACCUAUAGAGGCCUAGGCCGAUCGGCCUAGGGUGCUCAUUCUUGGCGAGCACUCCUCCAAGAAGAUUUAGCGGCUAAGUUUCACAAGAUAUGGCAAGUUCACUUUGGGAUCAAAUAUGGAAGCAAGCAGGACUUUGGAAAGAUAUCAAGAUAUAUACUUAUCCCGAGGCUAUCGACGUGCCAAGCCUACAUGCAAGUAAAGAUAAGUUUCCUAAACAUCAGAGAAGACUUGGUGAUGAAGCUAGACGUGAGAGGGUAAAAGGAAGGGUGAGGCUGAUCGCCCUGGACUCCCCUAGGCCGAUCGGCCCAGCCCUUUCCUUCACCCGUUCGUCUUCCAGUUUAAACCACAGGUCCUCCAGACUAUAAAUACCCCAAUAUUUCAUCAAGCACCAGCAUUGGAGAGAAGAUUCAAAAUAGAAGAAGUCGAGGAACUUGAGGGACAACCAUAUACAAAGAGCUUAGGGCCGUGCAGUUGUCCGGAGGCUAGCUUAGGCUAGGCUCUAGCCAACGUGAUCACCCUGUGAGCACUACAAGAAAUGUGUUAAUCUAUGAUGAAAAUUUUAUGCAUAUUUGUUCUAGUCAUAGAUCUAUGAUAUUUCUAGCUGAAAACAUCAUAAAGUUUCACAUCCGAGCAAAUUUAGUGACAAAGUUACGAAACGUCAUAACAGUUGCCACUAUAGCCAAAAAGAAAUGGUCACUAGCUGUUACAUAGUGGUUUUGUGAUGAUAUAAGCUCCACGAAAAUGUCAUAAACCAACUAGGAUCCCACGUGCAAGUUUAAGCUGAUAAAUAGGGUAGUAAAAGAAAAAGGAAGAUGUGCUCCUCUCGUGGGUCAAACCUGUUUCCGAUCGAAUGGGAAGUCUUUACUGUGACUGGGUCCCACAUGUAAGUUUCAGGUGAGUCUUUACCGAUCGAAUGGCUGGCACCACGCUUUGCUAGCUUCGCAAAGACUUCCACUACCCAAAUCUGCAAUGGCCCGCGGUGGGAAUGGCGCAUCCUAGCGGCGACAGGAGGAUGAUUGCGCAAUCUAGCUGCGACGGGAGGAUGAGGAGCCACGAUGAGGUCGGUCCCCUGGUUUGAGCCGCUACUUUCCCCUAUCGUCCUAGGGAAUGAGAUUUCUAGAUUUGGGGGUCUAGGUUGAACAUACUAGAUUCCAGUUUCGUCGUACCCUUAGAUUUGCAUUCCGAUUGGUGUUAGAAGUUGUAGACUAUAGUUUAUGAAGUGCAAAACUAAACAUUGAUUUCAAGUUACAAUGACUUUCAUGAUGAAAUUAGUAUUUAAUUUGGAUCGUAUUAUGGAUUGUUAGGUUCUUGUAUUUUACUAGCUUCUAGAGGUGCUUGAUGUCAUUGGUAGCGGCACAUCGGGGCCUCCUACGAUGAUCUUAUCGUUGUGGAUCCUGUAAACAAGUGCGAGCACGGGUAUGGUCUCCUUGUGAGGUAUAAUUGGACAUUUGACAACCCUGGGCGCCGGUAUGCAUCCUGUAGAGAGGUAAAUAAUAACUCGUUUCAAUUCUAAUAAACCUUGCUUGUACUCUUGAUGUUAGUGUUGUAAAUGGAGAAUUGUAUGAGUGUAAUCGGUCUCUGCAGCAUGAAGGGCUGAAAUGCACGUUGUUUAUGUGGGUUGAUCCUAAAUGGGAUGUUAAGACUAAAGGUAUUCUGAUAAAGUUGAUGAAGAGGAAGGCAAAAGCCGAAGAGGAAGCAAGGUCAUGGAAGGAAGAAUGCACAAAGGCUAACAUGAAGCUUGAAGCGACUGCCGUUGAGCUGCAGAAGGUGAAGGGACACCUGGAACAUGCCACCAAUCGUUGUUGCUGUGAUGUACUAUCUGGCAAAUUAGGAUAAGUAAGAACAAUGAUUAUGAACUCUAUAGUGAUGAAUGGCUAUGACAUGCAAUCUAAUUAUGCUGCUUUGGUUUAAUCUCCUUCUAAUUUGAUUCCAGCAUAUUUACCAUUUAGAAUUCAGAUACGCUGCAUAAUUGAGGAACACUAAUAAUAUAGAUAUUGGUAGUAUAUAUACAAAUGCGUUGUGUGAUAAUACAACACGCGGCUGAGAUAAUAAAAUAUGGCAGGGUCCCACAACUUAGUAUGAGAUAGAAAAGGAAGAAAAAAUAAAAAGGUAAUAGUGUCCACAACAGGGAUUGAACCUGCGACGACCUCUUUAUUCUGAAGAGUCAACACUACCACUAAGACAUAAUGCAGUUUAUGGUUUUUGAACAAGGCAGCUUCUUUAUAUUACAGUUCUAAUAAGUGUGGCCCACUUCCCAGUUGCAGGCUAGAGCAAUGGGUAUAUCUGCAACGGUGUACACUGCAAGGGACUCGCCAGCACGCUCCUGUUGGUUGUGGCAAAGACUUGAGCCUAGAGGCGUCGGUGCACAGAUCUGCAACGGGUAGCGGGAAUGGUGCAUCCUAGCAGCAAAGGGAGGAGUAGGAGCUACGGUCAGGUCAGUCCCCUAUUUUGUGCCGCUACUUUCCCCUUUUGUCAGAGGGAAGGGGAUUUUUGGAAUUGGGGAUUUCAGUUGAAGGCAGUAGAUUCUGAUUUCGUCCUACCCUUAGGUUUGUAUUCCGAUUGGUGUUAGAAGUUGAUAGGCUAUAGUUUAUGAAGUGCAAAACUAAACAUUGAUUUCAAGUUAGAAUGACUUUUAUGGAGCAUCCGAGUAUUCCAUCAUCUUCUUCCGUUGGUAGCUACUACUUGGAGACAUUUUCCUGCAACACUACCCAUUGGCAUCCUGAAAACAAGAGCGAUCACAGGUUGAGAGCUGUGGUGAAGUAUUCUUGGACCCUUCUCAACCCUGGCCGCCAAUUUGCUUGCCGCACAAAGCUAAUGGCUACCUGCUUCACAGAGAUUUUGGUUUUGUGGUUUCAUGUUACAGUUGUCAAUGACGAUUUGAAAAGGGGCAUUUAAUUUGUAGGAAGAAAAAAAGCAAUGUGGUUACAUAAUCCGGGUUGAUCUAGAAUGGGAUGAUAGGGACUUUGGUGUUCUGGUGAAGCUUGUGAAGAAGAAGGUGCAAGCUAAAGAGGAAGCAAAGAAGUGGGAGGAAGAAUUGGAAAAAGCUAACUGUGAGCUUAGAGAGAUUAGGAAUGAGCUCAAGAUGGUGCGCCAACAACUUCAGAAGGCUACAUCCGAGCUGAAGUUAAUUGGGAAUUAUAGGCACAAUGUCAAACUCAUGCACAUGCUGCUUGCUUUAUUUGUUGUUGUCGUGGGAUUGAUGCUUGGUGGCAAGACUAAUUAAGUAGAUGGUUCAGAGGUGAGAUGGUGCUCUUAUAUUUUGGUAGCUAAUGGUACUUAGAGUGAAAGUACCAUAGGAUUGCCUUAUGUUUAUGAACAUUUUCCCGAUGAUGUAUUCUGCAAGUGUCACUUUGGUUAUGUUGCCUUAUGUUUCUGAACAUUGUGCCGAUGAUGUACUGUCAAUCUUGCCAAUCUCAUUGCAUGAUUUCAUUUUGUUGUUUCCAAGACUGCCACAUCAAAAGAUAAAAAUGAAACCAUGGAUGAAACUCUGGGUCUGCUUGGUUGUCUUGCCCAAGCUUUCCCACUAGCCUUGUUUGCCAAGACUUGGCAAGACAAUCCUUGAUAGGUGGGGAGAGCAAUGGUGGAGCCCGUACAUAAUAAGCGAUAAAAAAUUUUGCUGACGUACGGUUUCGAACACUCAAAGUUACCCUGUCGCACGGUUUCGAACAAUAAAAUAAUAAGCGAACAAAAAAUUUCCACCACUAUGCUACUCAAAUGUUUUCGACUAACUCCACGCUCUUAAUAUUUUAGUCUGGCCUAUUUACUUUUUCGACAAUGGAAAUUCCUUCUAGAUUUACCAAUAAUCAUAACCAAUUGCAUUCAGAUCGAAUAUUCGAUGCCACGGGCUCCGGCGGUUGUCGUACUGGUUCCUGUUAUUGCACGUUCUUCAAGGAGCCGGUUGCCAUCCUCGAGAGAUGCUGGUUGCCUAGCUUCCCAGGGAAGCCGGCGCAACUUUCGAUGGAAGGUGAGGAACUCCUUAUUUAAUUGCCAUUUCCCCCACCAUCGACAUCGUCGCUAGUUCCACUACAAUCUUGUCCCCGACGCGCGCGCCUCACCUCAGCAGCCCAGCUGACACCAUUAUCCAUCUCUCCCUUGGCCUUUGCCUCCUCCGGCUCCCCGUCGUGCCACCUCUCCCACACUGCCCCCCCCCCCCCCGCGCGCGCAUCGAGCGAUCCUCCGGUGUCUCCUCAUUGUCGCGCUCCCUUGGCGGGUUGUUGCCACGCUAUCGCCAUGCCGCCGCCCGCAACUUCACAGCAACACUAUGGUGCAACGUCCACGUGGUGGGGUCAUCCUGCUAUGGCAGCGCUUCCAUGUCGGGAUCCUACUCUGACGCUGGCAACCUCGGGUGGCCAUUACACUCGUCGUCGGGUUCGCGCUCCACCACCGUCGACCUCAACCCACCGUCGCUCGCGAAUGGUUGCCGCGAAGCCGCUGGGAGCUCCUCGGUGCGUUGGCAGCCUCCUUCGGUGGUGGGGCGGCUUCCUCCAGUCCUGCACCCUCGUCGCCACCUUGGAAGUUGACCUUGAUGGUAACCCUUCCAGCUGAUGUGUUCGACUCUGACUCCGACUCCGACUCCCUGACUGAGACGGACUCAUCUGAUGACCGUCGCCGUGGCUAUCGCAUGCCCUUCCCCCGGGGUGACUGUUGACGGACGUUAAGUACCAAAUAUGACCAUCAAUAUACUCAAGAAUAAAGGAGGAUUGGCAUUUCUUACACGCAUAUUUAGUUUCAAAUAAUGUAGUUCCACCUGUCCUUGGAGAAUAUUUAGUUGCAGGUGAAAUUGUUGUGACCCUUAGCGAGAAACUUCUCAUACUCCUAUGAUCAAGAUCAUGUACACACCACCACCAUAUGCUAAAGUUCUACACUGGAAGUUAGCAAUCAUCAUUUCAUCCAUCCAUAAAAUAUAGCUCCAUGUAGUUCUAUGACCUCUCUCUCCAAAGUUAUCCUUGCAAAAGAAACUUGGGCUAUGCAAAAAGAAAUAAAAUGCAUGCUCCUGAAAGCAUGAUGAAAAAAAAGAGAUAACACAUGUCUCAAAAGAAAGAAAGCAAGGAGAGAAAAGGAUCAUACAAAAAAAGGAGUCCAUACACCAUCCACCAUAUUGACCAUCCACACACAUGCACAUCUUGAUGAGGUUGUAUGACUUGCUUCUCCAAAGGAUCCUGUCUUUGACUUAGCAAUAUAUGAGGAAUAGGUAUGCCUUCAUUCUUCCCUACUCCACAUAUAAGCCUAUUAGGAGUAUGUUGUGAAAGAAAGGCAAUCCUAAGCCUAGGUGAGGAAUCAUACACAUUGAGUGAUCUAAGAGUAUCAUUUGAGGAACUUUGAUUUCUUUUGAAAAACUUUGCAAAACCUCCGUAUUGACCGCUGAUCAAAGGAUGAGUGAACGGUGCUCUAUAGAACCAUUAUAUCUCUCAACCACCCAAGACAAGGUGAAGCUACAUGCCCCACAUAAGUAAGGUAAGAGAUAAGAUCAAUGCCCCACAGAAGUAAGGUAAGAGAUAAGAUCAAUGCCAACUUAUUCAAUUCUUGGUAGAAUAUUUUGUUGUAGCCUUGGCACAAGUUAGGAAUACAACAUAGUAGCAACUCUUGAUCAACCAACCUAAGUCUUAGUAUUUGCUCGAGACGAGCAAAGGGCUAGCUUGGGGGAGUUGUUGACGGUCAUUAGGUACCAAAUAUGACCGUCAAUAUACUAAAGAAUAAAGGAGGAUUGACAUUUUUUACACGCAUAUUUAGUUUCAGAUAAUGUAGUUCCACUUGUCCUUGGAGAAUAUUUGGUUGCAGGUGAAUAAGCACAAAAGGAUGGAGAAAACACCCUCUAUGGAUCCAAGAAACAUGCUUCUGACCAAUGGGAGGUUGCCAUAUGUGCAUCCCAUAGAUUGAAGGGCCCACAUACUAACACAACUGCCUCAAUCCACCGGAUAACGCACCCAACCACCAUUGGGAUACACCAAGCAGUCACCUAGAGAAAGGUGGUUGCCAAGGGGGCCCACAAGGGGUCGGCCGAACUAGGGGUUCAGCCGAACCGCCCUUGUCCCCUCAUCUCCAGCUUCCACGUGACGGCGGCUUAGGUCGGUUAGGGGAUAUUCCUUGAAGAUUCCCUCGCAGAACCGCCUCUUGUAGCCUAUAAAUAUGAGGGGAGGGGCUCCAUUCUAGGACACACACAACUAGUGAUUCACUUUCUCCCUCUUAGUUUCCAAGUUAUUGGAGUUAGGCUAGAGUAGCUCUACUUUAGGUUUCAUGUCUCCUUAGAGUCUAGGGUAUGACUAUUGUAUCUUUUAUUCCUAGGUUGACUUUAUUCUAUUCAAAGUAUACAUCUUUUUUAUAUAGUGUUGUUCUUGGUUCUUAUAUGCAUGAGUUAGAUAUGUACCCUUGCUAUGUUGAUGUGCUAGGCUUAUACGCUCGUAUGCUAGUCGUAUACCCUUGCUAUCAUAAUAUAGGCUUAUAUACGCCCAUGCAUGCCUUGAGACCAUGCUUCAGUACAUACUCUGUGGGCACAUAUACCUUGUAUAGCUUAGUUGAUCUAUGCUACAACAUCGGUUCAAUGGCCAUUUUUAUGGUGGCUUCAGCUAUUGAUACAAUACCCUAGUAUGGCUGGAGUGUUGUUAACAAUGCAAGGAUGGUGCUUGGAUUGCUUAGCUUCAUUUGAUAUGAGUUUGCCCCAUGGGUCAUAGAGGUAGGCCGCAGGUGGUGACAACCCUGUUGGUCCUUUGUAAUCCUUCACGUUCCGGUAUGCUGUAGGAGUUCGUAAAUUAGUAGUAACUUUGCUAGGCGAAACCAGUACGGGUGUAUAGGCCUGAGUUCUAUACAAUGUGUAUGUAUGUUAUGUCUGUAUGAUCAGUGCAUUAUAAAGGAAGUACAUAUGAACCUAGAGCUAACUCUUAGUCCUUCUCCCUAGCUUAGUUGUCUUGAGAUGAAUCAUGUGUGUGUCACACUAUCUAUCUAAUAUCUUACCCCUACCUUGAGUAUUAUCUCUAUCUGUCUAUGGUAUACUCGUAUGCAUAUUAAACUCUUUUGACCUACCCACCUUCCUUUGGGAAAUACGAUACCCUUGGGAAUAAUCUUGGGUGAAAUGCUACAACGGUAUAUCCGCGCGCUUGCGGAUUUAUUCAUGAUCGUUAAAUAUACCAACAGUGAUGCUCUGCGCAUCUUCCGCCGCACUGACAACACCUUCACAUGCCCCGUCUGCCCCGGCACGAGGCAUUGGUGGAGGAUCCUAAAUGAGAUCAAGGACCACGUCCUGGGGAUGGCAAAGUCCAUGCCCCUGAGGGGUGAGAACAAGAAGUGGAGCCGCCACUGCGUCGUGGCCCAGAACGAGGGGUGGAUGGAGUGAGCAAGCCCUGCUGGUGGAACAUCAAUGCUGUUAUCUUUGCUAUGAUGUUAAUUAGUAACUUUAGAUUUCAUUGGAACUCUAUCCAUCUUUGCUAUGUUGUUGUCUUUGUUUAUAAGAUCAAUGGAAAGAUCGAUCCCCUGUUUUCUAGUCUGAAGAUCAAUCCCCUUUUUUCCUGCUCUAUUUGCUCUGUGAUGGGACAUCAGCAAGAAUCUGUUCAUCUUCCUUGGUGCUUUGGUUUUCCCUAGUCAUGAUGCUGCAUCAUAGCCUGCCAUGCCAUUUCUUGUCAUGUGAUUAUUUAUUCUUAUCCCACCGCACCGCAACGGACUAGAAACAACAACUAUCUUGUACUAUGUAUUUAGAAACAAGUGACUAUCUUCCCUCAUUGGUUUUUUGAGUGGUUGAAAAUCAAUAUGUGACAAAACAUUUAGUUCUCCUGUUUACUUUUUCGACAACGGAUCAUACAUCUGUACGUCGCCAAGAAUCAUUAUUUACUUUGCCAAUUGAAUUGCAUGAUUUCAUUUUGCUGUUUGCAAGAGUUCAAUGCUUUUCCUAGGGAGAUUAAUUAGAUCGUUUAUCUUUGUUAUGCUGUUCUCCUACUCACAUAGCUCGAGAGGCCAAGAUAGUGCAUCAGUUUUUUCAAGAUUGAAAAUCAAUAUGAGACAAACAUUAACAAAGAAUGUAAUCCUAUUUGGCUCUCUUUCAAAACAAAGGAAAUCCUUGCUCACCUUUGCAAAAUUCAAACCAUUUUUCCAACAAAAGAUCAAACAUUUUGGUCCAUCCUAUUCACUUUUCCUCUAACGGAUCAUACGUCUAUACAUAUUUUUCCCAAAAAUUGUAACAAAUUCUAAUUUGUACCCAAGGAUUAACAUGGCAACCGUCCAUGUUCCAGCACCGUGUAAUAUCACAUCCUCCACAUCCAUGCAGCCAGUCUUCCUUGGUUCUUGUGUAGGCAUGGUUACUUGAAACCAAUUUAUGCUAUUCCCUUAUUUAAUUCCUAUUGGGUCGUUCUCCUACUCGCAUGCCCCCAGAAACAAAGAUGGAUCCAAUUUUAUGUUUCAUUUAAUGAGAAUGUAGUUGGAGUAGUGCAUCCGUUUUUUGAGAGAUUGAAAAUCAAUAUGGGAUGAUUAUUAAAAAAUAAUGUAAUCCUAUUUAGCUAUAUCUCAAAAGCAAGGAAAUCCUUGCUCACCUUGCCUAAAUUCAGACCAAGCAUCUUUUUCCCAAUAAAGGAUUGCAAAUGUUAGUAUGACCUAUUCAAUUUUUCUUCUUUUUUGAGCACUGCGCAGCCUCUCUGUCACUAUGAUGCAAUCACAGCUUUAGCCGACUACAUUCCAAGCUUCGCUGCGAUGACCUCAGGUUCAUAUCCGCCUACACAUCGCUCGGGGGCUUGAGGGAUAUGGGUACCCCAUGGGUCCCCACCGACUAGGAUAUUGGCCGGUCCUAACAAGUGGGCCCGCCAACCAGAACGUGCGGGCUAAGGACAUGAAGAUACUUGAAGCACAAGUCAAGGAGGCCGGGCGAUUCAGAUAAGCUCGGAUAUUGCUGGAUACAUAUUGUAAUCCAACUCAGAUCACGUUCGAUGUAACAACUGAGUAGAUUAGAUUCAAACCAACUUGUAACCCUAGGUCGUCAGCCUAUAUAAGGCGGCCAAGGGCACCUCCCGAGGGGAUCCCAGGAUCUGAACCAUUGAGCAAUACAAUCCACCAAAAUACAGGACAUAGGGUAUUACUCUCUGGAGGCCCGAACCUGUCUAAAACCCUUAUGCCCUCUUCGUGUUCUUGUGAUUACCUUCGAGUUCUUAGUUUUGCAAUCACCCUCACCUACAAAUCAACCACUUGAGUAACCCCCUGGUGGACUGCCGAGCUUAUAAAUCCGACACGGACCAUACGUCUGAUGAUGCUAAUAUAAUGCAUAAGAAGAACAUACAAAUCUUUCUUGCAUGGAUUACAAAAGGAUUAAGGUAGCAUAAACUUUCACAUAACAUCUUCAUGAUUUAUCUUGAAGUGAGAGCACUAACAAAAAA